CCACUAACCCAUCUCCGUCGUCAGAUUACGAUUACGGAGGAUUACUAUACAAUCAAAAAUAUUUGGACAUUGUACUAUUUGAUAUUAUAAUCACAUCAUAAACCAUUCAUACACAAGCAUAUUGUCCCUAAAUCGAGUCCACGAGGCUCUAAAUAUAACCUAGAAACAAAUUGUGACCAAUUUGAAACAGUUUGGAAAGAUCAGGAAAAAGAUGCAAAAUUUUCAAAAACAGGGGUCACACGGUCGUGUGCCUCACACAGCUGAAACACACACCUGUGUCUCAGGCCAUGUAAUUAUCAAACUAGGGACAAACGGUUGUGUCCCAGCCCAUGUCCUCACCUGUGUAACUCUCUAAGUAGGGUCACACGGCCGUGUCACAAGCCCAUGUGCCAGGCCGUGUGUUAGACCAUGUAACUCAUUGACUUGCACACUAAAGAAAUCAUCAGAUGACACACAACUGUGUCGCCAAGCCGUGUGCCUCACACGGUUGAGUCACACGCUCGUGUCUCAGGCCGUGUAGACCCUAAUGAACCUAAAAUGACAAGCUUAAUUGGACCCUAAGUAAUUCAUUUACCAGCCAAAAGACCUAUUUAAAAUGACAUUAAACAAGCUCAAAACUUGUUAAAUCAACCAUCCUAAGUGCCUAACCAAUGUACCCUCAUUGGUACCACAAGUAUAUACAAUUUCACAACAAAAUGAACUCUCACCCAAGGUAUGUUAAUUCACACAAUUUAACAUUCAACCAAUAUGCCUAUCAUAGGCACCUCAAUCACAACAUUCCAAUAACACUUACCAUAAACUUGCACUUAAACAUCUUCCUUAGUUCACAUAUAUCAUAUUAAGUUAACUACUUGCAUUUAAGUAUCUACAAGAAUAGAAAAACAAUAUCAAAAUAAUAAAAAUGAAAAAAAAGCCUAUUACAUGCCAUAUAAUAAAAAAUGAGUGUUCCAAAAACUAUUAAAAAUAUGUGGAUAGUGUGACUUGAGUGUCGAUCUGACCGUCCAACCUUCAAAGUAUCUACAAGAACAGAAAAUAACAGAAAUAAGCUUAUUGAAGCUCAGUAAUUUGAUGUAAAAAAUGAUAAAUCUAGCCGAAUUAAUAUAAUAAAUCAUUCAAUAAUAACUCAACCACAUGUGUUCUAUGCCAUCCAAAAUCUCAACCCCGUGAAUUGCAUAGUUCAAUUCAAAGCUCAAAUACAUGUUAUAACUAUCAAAAAAAAAGUUAUGAUACAGAGAUUUAUGAUCUGAUGAAUGACUUAUGGAUAUGAGUAAAUAGAUAUUCCAACUGAAACAUGCCAAUCGCUCGUAAGAGCUAAUCCACCCGAGAACACGUCAGAUGCUCAUAAGAGCUAGUCCAACUAAAAACACGCCAAAACAGUAAGUAUAACACGAGAGUUAGCAACAAAUGCUGAACCUCGGCCUACUAAGAAAAAUAUAUAUAUCACUCCAUAACAAUCUCCAUUCCAGUCCUCCCAUAACACGCCAUAAUUCGAUUGUACUCUAUCCCGCGUUCAUCUGAUUCAAGUAUAGAAAUUCAUCAAUAUUUCUCAAACAACUUUACAUCAACGAUGAAACAAUUAUAAAUAUUAUAUAAUACUAUAUCAUCACACAUAUCAUAUAGAUAUUAAAUUGUAAACCUUACGACUUACCUAGACUGAAUUGUAGUAGUUGUAGAAGUUCAAGGACUAAUCUGUGAUUUUUCUUUUUCCAUGCAUAUCAACAGGAUCUUGAUCUAAAAUGUAAAAUUCCUCAAUUAUUGGCUUACGUUUCACAUUACAAUUCACUUUACAUUUUAUACCCUUUUAUUUUUUAAAAUUAGACAAUUACCCUUAACUUUUACAUUUUUUUUCAAUUUAGUCCCUUAACCCAAAAAUGAUCAAAUUAACCAGUUUCUCAAGUCAAAAUUUUAGCCGAAUAUACUAUGCAUUUAAAUAGUUCCUAUUAAACAUCAAAUUCACUAUCAAACCCUAAAAUUUUGAAAUUUUCAAAAUUUAAUCCUUAAAUUAAAAUCUAACAAAAAUCACUUCACAAAACCACCAAAUACAACAAUCAAAGCUUCAUAUACGUAGUUAUCAUCAAAAACAUUCAAGCUUCAUCACUGGUCGCUUCUAAAUUUUUUAACAGAUUCAAAAACGAAAGUAUGGGUUAGCUGGACCUAGUUGCAACGAUAUCAAAAACAUAAAAAUUACAAGAAAUAGAUAUUGAUUUCACUUACAUGAAAAGGAACAAUCAAAACUGGAACCUUGCUCUCUAGCUAUGGUGUUCGGUCAAUUGGAAAAGAAGAAAUGAACAUAAAAAUGUUUUAAUCUUUCUUUAAUUUAUUUUAAUUUUCCAUUAAAUUACAAAAUUGCCAUUGUAAUUAUAUUAUUUUAUCAUUUUCAACCAAAAUGUCGUCCCACCAUGUUAAAUAAGGAAUAAUUGCUACUUAAGUCCUUCUUCAUCUAUUAAUUAAGCUAUUUGAUCACCUAGAUGCAAUAAUUACUAAGUUUUUCACCUUUUACAAUUUAGUCCUUUUUCUAUAAUUCACUAUCUAAACGUUAAAAUUUCUUAACCAAAUUUUAAUAUGACUCUAAUGACUCCAUAAAUAUUAUAUAAAUAAUAUUUACGAGUCGACAUGAUGGAAUUUGUGAGCCCAAAACUACUAUUCCGACACAACUGAAAAUCGGGUUGUUACAACUCUCCCUCUUAGAAAUUUCGUCCUCAAAAUUGUUACCUAAGAAUAGAUUCAAAUAUUGUAGUUUCAUUGAUUCAUUGGUUCCCCAGGUAGCUUCUUUUGUACCAUGACGAUGCCACAAGAAUUUUACUAAUGGCACCUGUUUAUUCCGUAGUUUUUUAACAUCUCGAGCCAAAAUUUUCACUAGUUCCUCAGAAUACCCCAAAUCUGGCUAUAAUUCAAUCUCACUAUAAGGAAUCACAUGUGAAGGAUCAGAUCUGUAUUGUCUCAACAUUGAAACAUGGAACACAUUAUGAAUUUUCUCGAGUUCAAGGGGCAAAGCUAAUCUCUAGGCUACAGGGCUGACUCUUUCAAUAAUCUCGUACGGUCUGAUAACUCUCGGACUCAGAUUUCCUUUCCUGCCAAAACGUAGCACUUUCUUCCAUGGAAAAAAAUUUAGAAAUACUCGAUCGCCAAUAGUAAAUUCUAUAUCUUUUCUUUUCAAGUCCGUGUACGAUUUCUGACGAUCAGACGCAGCUUUCAAACAAUCUCGAAUAGUUCGAACCUUGUUUUCAGUUUCUCAAAUCAAAUCAAUUCCCACCAUUUUAGACUCGCUCAAUUCAAACUAAUGUAACGAAAUUUUACAUUUUCUUUCGUAUAGAGCUUCAAAUGGUGCCAUUGUUAAACUGGAUUGAUAACUGUUAUUAUAAGUGAAUUUAGCUAAUGGUAGAUAAUUUUCCCAACUACCUUGAAACUAUAGUAUACAACACCAUAGCAUAUCUUCCAGAAUUUGUAUCACUCGUUCUGAUUGCCCGUCCUUCUGAGGAUGAAACACUGUACUAAAAUUUAGUUUAGUGCCUAAAGCCUCAUGAAGUUUACUCCAAAAUCUCGAUGUAAACCUUGCAUCAUGAUCAGAAGUAAUAGAUUCAGAACUCUGUGCAAUCUCACAAUCUUUGACACAUAUAAUUCCACUAACCUCUCAAGUGAAAAAUCUGUUCUAACUGGAAUAAAAUGUGUUGACUUAGUCAAUCUGUCAACAAUCACCCAGAUUGAAUCUUUCUUUUUCGGAGUUACAGGUAAACCAGAUACGAAAUCCAUCAUGACUUGCUCCCAUUUCCACUCAGGAAUCAUAAUAGGUUGUAGUAAACCCAAUGGCACCUGGUGCUCUGCAUUUACUUACUGACAAAUCAAACAUUUAGCUACGAAUUCACAAACCUCAUGUUUCAUACCCGACCACCAAUACAUCUGUUUCAAAUCAUAAUACAUCUUCAUGCUACCAGGAUGAAUGGAAUACGUACUACUGUGAGCUUAAGACAUAAUAUCACGUUUUAAAUCUAAAUAAUUCGGAAUACAAAUCCUAUCACGGUAACGCAUUGUACCAUAAUCAUCAAUAUUGUAUUUAGUAAUCAAAUUAUCCUAAACCAAUUUUUGUUUCAUUAUCAACAUCGAAUCAUCAUUUUGUAACUCCCGAAUUCGCUGUAGAAACAAGGGUUUAGUUCUCAACUCAGCCAGUACAGAACCAUCUUCAUUCAAAGCUAAAUGAGCAUUCAAUUUUUGAAGUGUAAACAAUGACAACUUUCAACUGAGUGCAUCUGCAACAACAUUACCCUUUCACAGAUGAUAAUCAAUAACUAGAUUAUAAUCUUUAGUAGCUCUAACCAUCGUCACUGCCUCAAAUUCAAUUCCUUUUGGGUCAUCAAAUACUUUAAACUUUUGUGAUCCGUAUACACGUGACAUUUCUCACCGUAUAAAUAAUUUCUUUCAUGUGGCUUUAAUUGUCGAGAAGCAUAAGCUACUAUUUUCGCCGCUUGCAUCAACACACAACCCAAACCAUUAAGAGAUGCAUCGUUGUAAACCACAUAUGUUAUCGCAGACUUAGGCUGAAUCAAUACUGGAGCUUCUAUCAACAUUUUUUUUCAACUAAUCAAAACUCUGUUGGCACUUAUCAGACCAAACAAAAUCAACAUUUUUCUGUAGUAAGCUGGUUAUCAGAGAUGCAAUGAUCGAGAAAAUUUUAACAAAAUGACAAUAAUAACCUGCUAAACCCAGAAAACUUCUCACUUUAGAAACAUUUUCAGAAUUUUCCAAUUCAUUACAGCAGAAAAUUUACUCGGAUUGACUCGAAUCCUGUCAGCUAACACUAUGUGACCUAAAAAUCCAACCUCGCAAAGCCAGAAUUCACAUUUACUGAACUUUGCAUACAACAAUUUUUCUCCCAAAAUUUGUAACACGAUUCUCAGGUGUUGAGCAUGUUCAUAUUCUGAUUUAGAAUAGAUCAAUAUAUCAUCAAUAAACACAACCACGAAUCUAUCCAAAUGAGGCUGAAAAACCCAAUUCAUUAAAUCCAUAAAAGUAGUAGGAGCAUUUUUUAAUCCAAAUGACAUUACGAGAAAUCCAUAGUGGCUGUAACGAGUUCUAAAAGCAGUCUUUGACACGUCACAAUCCUUAACUUGUAACUGAUAAUACCUAGAUCUGAGGUCUAUCUUCGAGAACAUUGUGGCACCUUUUAAUUGAUCAAACAAAUCGUCAAUAUGUGGCAAGGGGUACUUAUUCUUUAUUGUGACUUUGUUCCAUUGUUUGUAGUCUAUACACAAUCUUAAAGAGUCGUCUUUCUUUUUCACAAACAACACAGGUGCACUCUAGGGUGAUACGUUCGGUCGAAUAAACCCUCUUUCUAACAAUUCUUGCAACUGUGUUUUCAACUCUUUUAACUUAGUUGAUGCCAUACGAUACGGUGAUAUUAAUAUCGGUGCAAUUCUAAAAACCAAAUCAAUCACAAACUCAACUUUCCAAUCAGGAGGAAAACCCGGUAACUGUUCAGGAAAUACAUCAGUAAACUCACUAACAAUCGAUAACUGAUCUAACUUCAACUCUGAAUCUCUGAUAUCAAGGAUGUAUGCUAGAAAUGCUUCACUACCUUUACGUAUCAAUAUCUAUGCAGAAAUAGGUGAAAUGAUUCUAACAACACUAUUCGACCUAUCAGAUUCAACUAAAACCAUCUCUUAUGUCUGGCAUUUCAAAUAAAUCUAUUUUUAUCCACAAUUUACCACAACAUCAUGUAAUGAUAGCCAAUCCAUACUCAAAAUAACAUCAAAUUCCAGAAAGGGUAGUAACAUCAAAUCAGUAGGGAAUUCACAGCCUCUAAUUUUUAGUGGACAUUUACGAAAAACUAAGUUAACUAUCAUAUUCUGACCUAGUAGAUUAGUAACUUGAAUAUCAUAUCCAGUUGAUUCAAUAGGUAGUUUCAUUUUCGUUGCUAAUGCAGUGCAAAUAUAAGAGUGAGUUGACCCAGGGUCAAUCAGUGCAUACACAGUAAUAUCAAAGAGAUAGAACGUACCAGCAAUCACAUCAGGUGCAGCAGCUUUUUCUCUGGCUCAGAUGGCACAUGUUAGAGUUGUUGGAACGCUGGCACCCCUACGGCGCAGCGGAAAAAUAUAACCCCCGAAGAUCCUAACCAUGAAUCCAUGUGUGAAGAACGAAUCGGAGUGAAAAAGGGUUUCAAAAUUACUGAAUGGUGAUUCUAAGCAGACAGCGACGCCUCGGCAAUGAGUAAUCUGAUCUACUAUCGAACCAGCCCGCAAUCUUUGAUGACUCCGACCUCUAAGGAAUCCCCAAACAGUUUUGGAGAAGACUUUGCUUUGACGGCUGCUAGACUCACCAAGCAAAGAAAAAUGAGAUUUUAUAUCUUGUUAUUUUUUUAGGGUUUUUCAAAAUUAAAUAAAUAUAAUAAUGUUUAAAAAACUGAAAAUUAUAAUUACAUUAAUUAUAAUAAAGAUUUUGGUAAACUAUAUUUAUUUAUAUAUGAACCAAAAUCAUAUUCUCAUUAUGUGUACAACAACCUUGUACAUAUAAUGUGUUCGAUAUUUGAUUACCCAAUUUAAUUAAUUCUAUAAUUAAUUUAAUUCAUGCGACAACCAAACACAAUACCAAUUAUUUUUUAUUCUGUUCAUUUCAACUAUAGGGUGUGACCUUGUAGGUUCUUGUAAUGUUAGCAGUAAUGUUAGAACGAUUCCAAUGUUACAAACAAUGAGUGGCACCUAGCAAUGCAUCAUUGCUACCUAAGUCACAAGAAAUCAUGAUUCGACAUAACCUUUUUAUGAUUAAUCAUUUCAUGCACUAAUCCUUAAGUCCUUUAUCUCUGGAUUGAACAAAAGUCAUGGAAUAGUCACACUUGUAUAGUCCAUUCCAUGGUCCUUGAUAUCUUAAGUAGACUAUGAUAUACAAAUAAGUAAGACAUCUCAUAUCAGCUUAUUUGAGCAUGGCCAUGCAUUUCUAGUCAUACUCAAUCAAGUGGCCUAAAAUAUUACUCCCAUUAUGUAGGAGGGACUUAUCCUAUAUUGAUCAAUCAUAUCCCUCUACAUAGAUUGUGGUAUAUCCAACAUCAGCCUUUAUAGAACAACCAGUUACAGUGUACGUUUGACUGUAUCAAAAUAUAGAACUCACGAUGUUGGGAUUAUGAUGACCUCAAGUCUGAGGAUCAUAUACAUAUUAAUCACUAUGAGUAAUGUCGUGACAAUUACAUAAUAAUCCAAGAAACAUACUCAUAACGGGUCAGUCCAAUAUGUUGUUCUCUAACACAUAUAUUCAUGCAUCGAUUCUAACACUCCAUAUCAAUGACAACUCUUUAUCAUCAAUCAACUACAUGUUAGUCUUAAUGCAUUAUCGUUGUCCUAUCCAACAAUAAUACUUGACUAAGGACCUUUUAAGAAAAAUCAUAUUAUUCUCAGGACAUUAUUAUAAAAUAGUUUACUUAUACACACAGAAAAGAAACUGAAAUAAUAAUGGUAACGCCUUAUAUUAAUAAACAUGAUAAAUCAAGUAUGUUAUUACAACCAUCUCAUGAUUGAUCUUUGGGCAUACUCUAACAAGAGUAGGUGCUCUAGUCUCUGAUCGAACAACCAUAUCUUUUACUCCCGCACGAGGAGUCCCAGUAGUGUUGUUCUAGCCCGAACGUCUACUUUUAUGAGAUGUAGACAUUUACUUUUCAUUCUGUUCAUCAUUUUUCUUUUAACUAUUUAGGAAAAUUUCAGAGAAAGUGACCAGUUGAUCCGCAUCUAUAACAUGCCCCCAACUUAGCUCUACAUUUACCAAAAUGAUGUGUUCCAUAAUGUUUACAACUAAGCUUUGGAGUGUUCCGUGCACUUCCCACACUAUCAAUUGGUUUUGUAGGAGUCUUAAAAUCAUGCUGAAUCAAUUUAUUUUUGUUCGGAUGCUUAGACACUAAAGUAGCUCAACUAAAGUCUUCUCUAUUCUUCUUUGUUAGUGGUAUAGAAAAUGACUUAAAAGAACUUCUCUUUUUAAACUCUCGAAUCCGUCUAUUCCUUUGUAUCUUACGGUUGUACACUUCUUUCAUUUUUUGUGCAUGAUCAGAUAAAAUAACAAAUUCUUCGAUUGCAUUACCUCCGAUGAUCAUUCUAAUUUCAUCAUUCAGGACAUCUUUAAAUAAGAUACACAUCUCUUCUUCAGUAGGUAAAAUUUCUCGGGCAUAUUUACUGAGAUACACAAACUCUCUCUCGUACUCAGCAACUGACUUGUUUCCUUGUUGUAACUCAAGAAAUUCCCUCUUUUUCUUGUCUAGAUACCAUCUUCCAACAUACUUCUUUUUGAACUCGGUCUAAAAGAAAUCCCAGGUAAUUUUCUCCCUCGGUACCACAGCUACCAACAUAGUCCACAACCUGUACACUCAUUCUUUUAACAAUGAAACGACACAUCUAAGAAAAACAUUAGGAAGGAAAGCCAUUUCUUCACAAACUCAUAAGAUGUUCUAAAGCCAAUACUCGGCUUUAACCGGAUCAUAUUCUGAUCUACCACUAAAUUCUUCAGCACCACAUUUUCUAUGCUUUUCAAUCGGUAUACGUCGACUAGAUUCAGUCAUAAAAGGAGGUGGAGGUGUAACGGGAGGUGUAACAGGGGAAGGAGGCCGUUGACCCACAGUAUUCAUUUGCAUAAACUCAUUAAACCACUAGUUCAUAAACCCAAAAAACAAGAUUUUAAGUUCAUGUUCAGGUACAUGUAGAAUCAAAAUAUUACAACUCGUCCCUUGUUCUGAGGUCGGUAUAUUACUAUUAACCUCAUCAUUCUCAGCACGACCAAAUCCGUCUGACAUCUUUAUAAUCUAUAAGAAAAAAAAAGGUUAGAUCAGAUCAAACGCAUCACACUAUCACAGAUUUAUAUGGCAUGUAAUUUUAGACAUCUUACACACUACGCUUAGUCAGAGAACCGACUAAAUUGUAGCUCUGAUACCACUAAAUUUAACACCUCUAACCCGUCUCUGUCGCUAGAUUAGGUUUAUGGAGUAUUACUAUACAAUCAAAAAAAAUUUCACAUUAUACUGUUCAAUAUUAUAAUCACAUCAUAAACCAUUCAUACACAUGCAUAUUAUCCCUAAAUUGAGUCCUCGAGGCUCUAAAGAUAACCUAGAAACAAAUUGGGACCAACUUGAAACAAUUUGGAAUGUUUAGGAAAAAGAUGCAAAAUUUGAAAAAAUAAGGGUCAUACGGCCGUGUGCCUCACAUAGUUAAGACACACAUCCAUGUCUCUGGUCGUGUAACUAUCAAACUAGGGACACACGGUUGUGUCCCACUCCGUGUCCUCACCUGUGUAACUAUCUGAGUUACCUCACAUGCCUGUGUGCCAGGCCAUGUGUUGGGCUAUGUAACUCACUGACUUGCACCCUAAAGAAAUCAUCAGGUGACACAUAGUUAUAUCACCAAGUCGUGUGCCUUACACGCUCGUAUCUCAGGCCGUGUGGACCCAAAUGAACAUUAAAUGACAAGUUUACCAUUUCAAGCUUACUUGAACCCUAAGUAAUCCAUUUACCAGCCAAAAGACCUAUUUAAAAUGAUAUUAAACAAGCUCAAAACAUGUUAAAGCAACCAUCCUAAGUGCCUAACCAAUGUACCCUCAUUGGUACCACAAUUGUAUACAAUUUCACAACAAAAGGAACUAUCACCCAAGGCAUGUUAAUUCACACAAUUCAACAUUCAACCAAUAUGCCUAUCAUAGGCACCUCAAUCACAACAUUCCAGUAACACUUACCAUAAACUUGCAUUUAAACAUCUUCCUUAGUUCACAUAUAUCAUAUUAAGUUAACCACUUGCAUUUAGAAUCAUACUUUAAUAUUUUACAUAUCAAAACAAUAGCAAUGACAAACAAGCCUAUUACAUGUCAUAUAAUAAAAAAUGAACAUUCCAAAAACUACCGAAAAUAGGUGGAUAGUGUGAUGUGAGUGAGGAUCCGACCGUCCAACCUUCAAAGUAUCUACAAGAAUAGAAAAUAACAUAAAUAAGCUCUUUAAAGCUUCGUAAGUUGAGGUAAAAAAUGAUAAAUAUAACCGAAGUAAUACAAUAAAUCAUUCAAUAAUAACUCAACUACAUGUGUUCCCUGUCAUCCAAAAUCUCAACCCAGUGAAUUGUACAGUUUAAUUCAAAGCUCAAAUACAUGUUAUAACUAUCAAAAUCACUAAACAAGUUACAAUACAGAGAUUUACAAUCUGAUGAACAAAAAACAAAUAUAAGUACAUAGAUAUUCCAACUGAAACACGUCAAUCGCUCGUAAGAGCUAAUCCACCUGAUAACAUGCCAGAUGCUCAUAAGAGCUAAUCCACUCGAUAACACGCCAGAUGCUCAUUAGAGCUAGUCCAACUGAAAACACGCCAAAACAUGUAGUAUAACACGAGAGUUCACAACAAAUGUUGAACCUCGAGCUACUUGGGAAAAUAUAUAUAUCACUACACAACAAUCUCCAUUCCAAUCCCCCCAUAACAUGCCAUAAUUCGAUUGUACUCUAUCCCACGUUCAUCCGAUUAAAGUAUUGCAUCAAUCUUUCUCAAAUAACUUUACAUCAAUGAUAAAACAAUUAUAAAUAUUAUAUCAUAUUAUAUCAUCAUGCAUUUCAUAUAUAUAUAUUAAAUUGUAAACUGUACGACUUACUUGCAUUGACUUGUAGUAGUUGCAGAAGUUCAAGGACUAAUCUGCGAUUUUUUUUUCCAAGUAUCUCAACAGGAUCUUGAUCUAAAAUGUGAAAUUCCUCAAAUAUUAGCUUAUAUUUCACAUUCCAAUUCACUUUACAUUUUAUACCCUUUAUUUUUCAAAAUUACAUAAUUACCCUUAACUUUUAAAAUUUUUACAAUUUAGUCCCUUAACCCCAAAAUCAUUAAUUUAACCAUUUUUCUCAAGUCAAAAUUUUAGCCAAAUAUACUAGGCCCUUAAAUAGUCCCUAUUAAACAUCCAAUUUACUAUCAAACCCUCAAAUUUUAACAUUUUCAUAAUUAAUCCUUAAAUCAAAAUCUAACAAAAAUCACUACACAAAACCACCAAAUACUACAAUCAAAUAUUCAAAUACAUAGUUAUCAUCAAAAAAAUUCAAGAUUCAUCAAUGGCCACUUCUAAAAUUUUUAACAGAUUCAAAAAUAAAUGUACAGGCUAGUUGGACCUAGUUGCAACAAUCUUAAAAACAUAAAAAUUACAAGAAAUAGACAUCGACUUCACUUACAUGCAAAGGAACAAUCAAAACAAAAACCUUGCUCCCUAGCUAUGGUGUUCGGUCAAUUAGAGAAGAAGAAAUGAAUAUAAAAAUGUUUUAAUCUUUCUUUAAUUUGUUUUAAUUUUCUAUUAAAUUACAAAAUUACCAUUGUAAUUAUAUUAUUUUAUCCUUUUCAACCAAAAUGUCGUGCCACCAUGUUAACUAAGACAUAAUUUCUACUUAACUCCUUCCUCAUCUAUUAAUUAAGCUAUUUGAUCACCUAAAUGCAAUAAUUACUAAGUUUUGCAUCUUUUACAACUUAGAACUUUUUCUUUCAUUAACUAUCUAAACAUUAAAAUUUCUUAACCAAAUUUUAAUAAGACUCUAAUUACUUUAUAAAUAUUCUAUAAAUAAUAUUUACGAGUUGACACGACAGAAAUUUGCGGUCCCAAAUCCACUAUUUUGUCACAACUAAAAUUAGGCUUUUACAUUAGGGAUUUCUAUGAAAUUAAGAUAUUAAGUGAAGAAAUUGUAUAAUUUAGAUUGAUUAUGACAGAUGAAAUCUAAGUCAAUUCUUUCUUGGGUAUUUCUCGCUUCUUGGCUGUUAAUCGUUUAUUGUCCAGAUUUGUUCUUUAUCGUGUUCUUUAAUUAAUUAAUUUAGUUAAUUUUACUCUUAAUCAACCAGUCCAUUUUAUCAGUUAAAUAAUAGAAUGGCAUAAUUGCUAGUACUUUUAGUCCUCGUGGGAACGAUAUUUUUACUCACCGUAGCUAUACUAUUAAUUGAUAGAUGCACUUACCUUUGUUAGUUUUUUAGUUGGUUUACGACUACAUCAAGUUUUGGCGCUGUUUCCAAGGACUAAAAUAUUAGGAAAACUUUAUUUCUAUUAAUUUAGCCAUUUUUUAUUUUAAUAUUUUUGUUUUUAAUUUAAUUUUUACAUUCUAAUUUUUUGUUUGUUUGCUUUUGGCAGGUUCUUUUGGUUUAUAACUAGGGGGAACCCAUUUGAUCUAUUACUUUUUGAUAGUGAGAUUGAAAAGACUACUCGCAGAAAUCAUAGAGCGGUAAAAGAAGCAAGGCAAAAUAAACAAAAUAAGUAGGCAACCAAGAGGAAAAGAAUAUUACUGUGAAGAUGAGUAAUAAUCAAAAUUAUAAGCUACCUCCUGUGGCUCCUGCUCCUCAUACUAUGUAUGAUUAUGCUAAGCCCACUCUGAUUGGGGUUGAAUCGAGAAUUGUGAGACCCACCAUUGCAACAAACAACUUUGAGCUGAAGCCAAACACAAUUCAAAUGGUACAACAGUAUGUUCAGUGUGAUGGUUUGCAAGAUGAAGAUUCGAAUACUUAUUUGGCUAACAUUCUAGAGACUUGCGACACUUUCAAGAUUAAUGGCGCUACUGAAGACAUCAUACAAUUAUGAUUUUUCCCAUUCUCUUUUAGGAGCAAGGAAAAAUAGUGGUUAAAUUCAUUGCCACAAGGUUCUAUCACGACUUGGGAUCAGAUGACUGAGAAGUUUCUGUUGAAGUACCUCCUACUGGCUGAAAGUGCUCAGUUGAGGAACAUCUCUUCUUUUUCUGAAAUUGAUUUGGAGACAUUAUAUGAUGUACGAGAGAGAUUCAAAGAUCUGUUGAGAAGGUGUCCUAAUCAUGGGUUACAUUUGUGGUUGUAAGUUCAAACCUUCUACAAUGGUUUGAAUACCUCGACUAGACAGAUAAUUGAUGCAGUAGUUGGCAGAACAUAGAAUAACAAAACACUUGAGGCAGCUCAAGAGUUUAUUCAGGAGAUAGCAUUGAAUAACUAUUAGUGGCAAGUCAUGAGAACGAAACCAAUUAAAGCAACCAGUGUUUUUAAUAUUUAUGCAAUUUCUAUGUUAGCAAUUCAAGUUGAAACUCUUGGUAAGAAAAUUGAUCGUUUGAAUUUUUCUAGACAAGUGAAUCUGAUGAUGUAGUGUGAUACAAAUGGAGUGGGGAUGAUUAAUUCAGAAUAUCCACCCUUCAAGUCUAACAUGGAGCAUGAGCAAGUCAACUUUAUAGGUAAUCAUUCAAGAUCUCAAAAUAACCCCUAGAGCAAUAGUUAUAAUAGAGGUUGAAGGAACCAUCCAAAUUUCUCUUAGGGUGAUCAAGAUAAUUAAAUGUCACAACCCCCUUCGGGACAGCCUUAUCGCAAGAGAAGAAAUCGAACCUUGAAGAGAUGUUGGCUAAAUUGAUUUCGGUGUCACAAACUCGAUUUCAAAACACUGAGAUAGCUUUGAAAAAUCAGCAAGCAUCAAUUCAAGGACUUGAAAAUCAAACUGGACACUUUGCCAAACUUGUUUCCGAAAGACCACAAGAUAGCUUACCUAUCAACAUUGAAACUAACCUAAAAGAAAAAAUCUACGCAAUCACUAUCCGAAGCGUAGAAGGGUUGAGGAAGGUGUUAACAAAUUUGUACAUUAACUUACCAUUUGUUGAAGCCUUUUCGCAGAUGCCAAAGUAAGUAAAACUUUUAAAGGAGCUGUUACCAAAUAAAAGGAAGUUAGAUGACUUGUCGACUGUGGAGCUCAAUGCAGUUUGCUCGGCCAUUCUCCAAAACAAACUACCCAACAAACAUAAAGAUCCAAGGAGUUUUACUAUUCUUUGUCUCAUUGGUAGUUUAAAUGUUGAAAAAACUUUGGUUGAUUUGGGGGCUAGUAUAAAUGUCAUGCCUUAUAAGAUGUUCAAACAACUUGGUCUUGGGGAACCCAAACCCACUAGGAUGAGAAUUCAAUUAGCGGAUAGAUCAAUUAGAUAUCCUAGAGGUAUUAUUGAGGAUGUACUUGUGAAAGUCGAUAAAUUUAUAUUCCCUAUUGAUUUUGUUGUAUUGGACAUGGAUGAAAAUAUUAAGUACCUAUGAUCUUAGGUCGACCCUUUUUAGCCACUACUAGAACUGUUAUUGAUGUGGGUACUGGUGAACUUGUGCUUCGUGUAGGUAAUGAAAAGAUUACACUUCAAGCACGUGAUUUGGUGAGAGUCCCUAGUGAGCGAGAUGAUACUAAUUCUUCUGUUAAUGUUGGUAAUCAUGUGACUCAACGUUCUUUGCAGGAAAUCCCUCAUGAAAAUGUGUUGGAGCCAUAUUUUAUUCAAAGUGAUAUAACUCGAGUGAUGAGUGAAGAGUGAAUGGUGCAGCUCGAUGAACUAGAUGAAUGGCGAACAAAUUUGAGGAGAAACCAAGAAAGCAAAAGGAAGUAACAAAGCAACGCCAUGAUGUGUAUGUAAAGAGAAUGAACCAAUUCAAAGUUGGGGACAAAGUGCUGUUAGACAAAUCGGAUCCACGAAUUUUUCCUUCAAAGUUCAAGUCAAAAGGGUCUGACCCAUGUGUGGUAAAAUUGUAUUUCCAUACGAAACCAAUGAGGUAACACACCUUGAUUACCGCACAUUCAUGGUAAACAGACAUCAUCUCAAACUUUCUUUUGGUGGUAAUACUGAUAAUGAGAGAAAGGAGCUCUAACUCCAAGAUUCGACUUAACUGUGAGCUUAAAAAGGGAAGUCAAGCUUAGACUUUAAUUAAGCGCUUCUCGAGAAGCAACCCAAGUGUUUUUAUUUUUAUUUAUUUUUUUUACUUUCAUGUUAUUUUGAAAAAAAUUGAAAAAACUUUUGACUUUUAAAAAAAAAGAAAUGAAAAACAAAUUGAAAAAAAAAAACUUAUGAAGAAAAUUUCAAAAAAGAAAUUGAAAAAGAAUUUUUGAAAAAAAAAAGUGGUCCAUAUGGUCUAAGGUGAUCCACACAACCUGGAUACACGGGCGUGUCUUAGGCAAUGUGCAUACAGGAGCUAAUUUUUCCAAUUUUAAUUUGACCCACACAGGCUGGAGACAUGGUCGUGUGAGACAUACGGACGUGUGGUAGACUGUGUGGCUCACACGAGCUCGCACACAAGCGUGGGAGAAGUGAAGGAGCAUCGCACAUGGCCUAACACACGGCCGUGUGGUUUCUACACUUAUUUUUCUCUAUUAUUAAAUAACACACGGUCUAGGUGAUUUCACAUGGCCGUGUGGCACACACGACCUGACCAUACGGCCAUGUGGCUCACAUGGCCUAGCACAUGACCUUAUUUUUCUUAUUCUUUUGUUUUCAUCCUACCCCAACCAAAACGAUUUCAUUUAGUUUUAUAUUUUAUUUGUUUUUGUUUUUGUUUUGUCUUUUUUCUUUUGUCUUUUGUCUUUACUUUUGUUUCUGUUUUUUUUUUGUUUUUUUUAUUUUAUUUUAUUAUGCAUUGUACUUUUAUUGUUUUAACGGUUGUUUUUCUACUUUGUUAUCUCUUUAUCUUCUUAUUCAUUUUUUUCUAUUUUCUUAUUAGUUUGCUUGGAAACAUGCACUUCAUUUAGAAUAGCCUACAAUUCUGGUUUUCAAUAUUUCGAUGAAUUCAUCCAAAUUCAGGGCAAUUUUAGCUCUCUUCCUCCUUAUGAUAUUGUACUUAUUAUGUGAUUUUAAUUGUUUGUACAUUGAGGGAAAUGUACAUUUUAAGUGUGGGAAGGGUUUUAUAUGUUUAUACGAUAUAGCCUCUAAAUUAUUGUUUGUGUUUAAGUAAUUUUAUCAAAUCUAACAUUGAAAUAAUUUCUUUUAAUUUGGAGUUUUUAUUGAUUUGGUUUUGGAAUAAUUUGUGGAUUUUUGUGUGUUGUGUGAUUUAUACUUUAAGCAUGAUAAGUUUUUUUUUCAAAUAUUAUAAUUUUAGAUUGUCUCCCUGAACUGAAAAAUUAUUUUAAAAUUUUAAAUUUGCAAGUUUGACAUCAGAACCAUAAUUUUUUGUGAGCUUUUGAGCCUAUAGAGCAUAUAUUUUAUUUCUUGCUCAUUUUAUCUUUGGUUUUGUGUAUGUCAACUUGAUUUGGAGUUCUAGAACUUGCUUUGAUUAUGCAUGUAGAGACCACAUUAUUGAUUUGAUAUACUGAGAUGAUAGAGGUACUUAGGAUUUAACCCACUUAACCUGUAAAAAGCUUACCUAUUGAAUUAACCCUUAGUAAACCCCGUUGAUCCUAACACAUUUUUUUCUAACCCGUUAAUGUUAACCCAUAACUCAUAUCUAUGUUGUAAAAUUAUCCUUUUUAUUAACUCCCUUUUUGUCGAGAUUUGAUUUGGUUAGUUUCCUAACUAUGUUUCAUUAUUUGAAUUGCUGAAUUUUGUUUUGUUUUAAAAAAAUCAAAAGGGAAAAAAAUCAAAAAGAAAAAAUAUAUUAAAAAAUUAUAUUUGAUUGAGCUUGAAUAAUUAGUUUCAUAUUAUGUGGAACAGCUUAGUUCCAUUUGUGAUAUUUCUUGUUGAUGUGAAUUCUUUUAAUUCAGCAACUGAUAUUUUUUUUCUAGUUUGGUAACUUAUCAACUCAACUCUUGAUUAUAACCCACUUUUCUAACAUUUUCCAUACCUUUAACCUAAGCCCAUUACAACCUUGUAAAGACCUAUUGAUUGGUGUGUCAUCUCAUUUAUAGUGGUGAAGAUUUGAUUUUCAAGUAAGCCAAUGGUAAUAACAUUUCUCGUUUGACUAUUGAGUGCACAUUAUUUGAACCUUAAACACUAUAAGUUUUGUGAGUGAAUCUUUAGUGAGAAUGUUUUUUUUUCUGUUAGAGUAUGCCCAAAGAUCAAUCAUGAGAUGAUUGUAAUAACAUACUUAUUUUACCUCGUUUAUUAAUAUAAGGCAUAGCCAUUAUUAUUUCAGUUUAUUUUAUAUGUAUAUAAAUAAAUUGUUUUAUAAUAAUGUCCUGAGAAUAAUAUGAUUAUUCUUAAAAGAUCCUUAGUUGAGUAUUAUUGUGGGCUUGGACAACAAUAAUGUAUUAAUACUAACAUGGAGUUUAUUGAUGGCAAAGUGUUGUCAUUGACAUGAGAUGUCAAAAUCAAUACAUGAAUAUGUGUGUUAGAGAACAACAUAUUAGACUAACCCGCUAUAAGUAUGUUUAUUGGAUUAUUAUGUAAUAGUCACAACAUGACUCACAGUGAUUACUAUGUGUACAAUCCUCAGACUUGAGAUCAUCAUUAUCCCAACAUCGUGAGUCGUAUAUUUUGAUAUUGUCAAACGUCUACCGUAACUGGUUGUUCUAUAAAAGCUGAUGUUGGAUAUACCACAAUCUAUGUAGUGGGAUAUGGUUGGUUAAUAUAGAAUUUGUCCCUACUACAUAAUGGGAACAAUAUCCUAACCCACUUGAUUGAGUGAGACUAGAAAUGCAUGGCCAUGCUCGAAUAAGUUGAUAUGAGAUGUCAUACAUAUUUUUUUUCAUAGUCUACACAAGAUACCAAGAAACAUUAGAUGGGCUAUGCAAGUGUGACUAUUCCAUGACUUGUGUCCAUUCUAGAUAUAAAUGACAAAAGGAUUUAAUACAUGAAGGGGUAAUCACAGAGAGGUUAUGUCGAAUCAUGACUUCUUGUAACUUAGGUAGCAAUGAUGCAUUGCUACAUGCCACUCAUUGUUUGUAAUAUUAGAAUCGUUCUAGUAUUACUGCUAACGUCACAAGAACCUAGAAGGUCACACCCUCUGGUUGAAACGAACGGAAUCCAAACAUAGUUGGUAUUGAGUUUAGUUGUCACAUGAAUUAAAUUAAUUAUAGAAUUAAUUCAAUUGGGAAGUUAAAUAUCGAAGGAAUUAUAUGUACAAGUAUGUUGUACAUAUAAUGAAAAAUAUGGUUAAAUUAAUAUAUGAAUUGAUUUGUAUAAAAUUUAACUAAAAAUAAUUUACCGAAAUCCUUGUUAUAAUUAUUGUAAUUAUAAUUUAGGAUCAAAUAUUAUUAUAAUUAUUGUAAUUAUAAUUUUUUGGUCAAACGGCUGUGUGAACCACACGAGCUACCACACAGCCAUGUGCCAGACCAUAUGGAAAUCACAAAUCACACUCCAAACCUACCGGAAAACGCAUUUUUUUUAUUUUUCUGGCAUUUUAAUACCUAUAUAUAUGAAAAAAAUAAGAAGAUAAGGGAGGGCCAUUACAGAAUACUAAAAAAAAACAACUCAGGAAACACCAUUGAAGCUGAAUUUGAAGCAAAUUUCCAUCAAGAUUGAAGAUAUCCUUUUGAUUUCUUUGAACUUUAUUAUGAGUUUCUUUGUUUCUUAUGGUUGUAUUGUCUUUACAAUGUUUUUAUUUGCUAUCAUGAACUAAUUUUCCAAAUACCUAGAGCGAUGAACCCUAGGAUGGAUUCUGUUAUUUAAUUUCUAUUUUUACGCAAUAAAUUCUUGGAUCUUAUUCUCAAUUAUGUGUGCUUAAUUCUUGGUUUAAGAAUUCUAGACUAUUAAUCCAUGUUUGAUAUGCUUGAAUCAAAGGAGGAAUAGACCCAGUUUAAGAGUAGAUCUAGCAUAAUGGAGUGGAGUUCCAUGCAAUCCUAGAAAUAGGACGAUAUAAAUCUAUCGAAUUAGAGUCAAAUUUAAUAGGGGAAUCCGUAUAUCGAGUUAAUGUGAUAAUAGGGGCUUUAAUUAGAAAAAAAUUUUCAAUUAAUCAACUUAGAGUCAGUUGCUCUUAGUCUUGAAGAGGGAUAUUAGCUUAAUUUAGGGAUUUCUACGGAUGAAGAUACUAAGUGAAGAUGUUGCGUAAUUUAGAUUGACAAUGACAGAUGAAAUCUAGGUGGAUUCUUUCCUAGGUGUUGUCUCACUUCUUUGUUGUUAAUCGUUUAUUUUCCUGAUUUGUUCUUUCUCGUGUUCUUUAGUUAAUUAAUUUAGUUAAUUUUAGUCUUAAUCAACCGUUCCAUUUUAUCAGUUAAAUAAUAGAAAGGUAGUAUUACUAGUACUUUUAGUCCUCGUGAGAACAAUAUUUUUGCUCACCGUAGCUAUACUAUUAACUGAUAGGUGCACUUGUAUUUGUUGUAUUUUUAGUUGGUUUACAACUGCAUCAAUUAUCUACUGGUUGAUUUGGUUCUUGAUCUAUACGUUAAUACAUUUAAUUUAUCAAUAACUACUCUUCAAACUUUAACAGUUUUGAAAUUAGACACACAAGUUAACUAAAUCGAGAUACAACAAUCUCAAAAACAUAAAAUUCAUGAAAAAUAGGCUUUGAAAACACUUACAUACAAAACUGAUUGUUCAAAAAUACCAAGAGCUUUUCUUUAUUCUCUAAUGGAGAUGUUUUAAGUGGAGGAAGAUGAGAAUGAUGACUCUCUUUCCAUCCACUAAAGAUUCUACUUAAACACCCAACACUAAUCGUUCAUUACUAGGAAAAUGUGGUUAACUGCCACAUAACACCUCGAUCAAUUUUUAUGAAAUACAUUUAACUAGGUAGUCAAUAAUUCUUACGGUUUAGUCCAUACAUCAACAUUACAUCCAAUUCAACCAACUAUCAAAUCAAGGAUCAAUAUAACACUAAAAUAAGCUCGUAAGUAUUAAUGAAUAAUAUUUACUGACUUACUCGUCGGAAUCGUGGUCCCAGAAUCACUAUUUCUGACACUACUGAAAACCAGGAUGUUACAUAUACAACCCACAUCAAAAUACCAAAUCAUUCUUUAAACUUAGAAUUAUAUAACAUAUUACUCCUUUAGGUACAUGCCAUUAAAGUACAAGAAACAUCACCAGUUGUUGAGCCUGGCAUUAUUGUUCGAUGCUGAUACUGUGGGACGCUCACAAUCACCCUAACCUACGCACGAAGAACAAAAUUGUACGCUGGGUAUGAACUUAAUGGUAUUUCCAUCAUCUGAAUAAAAAUUCAUAAUAGAAAACAUACAAAAGCAUAAAGUAAAGUUCAUAAGAUUUACAUGCCAUUCAUGUGUCAAGCCAUGCCAUUUCAUCAUUUUACCACAAUUAUAACAUCUAAUGCAUUUUAUACCAUGGUUGAUAUCACACAAGCUAUUGUCAUAUUUCUAUUCCAAACUUUCUAUUCAAUGAACAUAGCCAACUAUUCUACCAAUUUAUUCUACAAUUCAAGAUCCAUUUUACAUUUUUAAUUCCCUAUUAACUUGACUCAGACUAGGACGGAUACACAGAUCCAACCAAUCACACCGGUUCGGCACCUAGUGCCUAUCGAAUAAUCUGAAAUAGUAAGUUAAACCCAGUGCUAGUUAGUAUAACCAAUCACUCCUCGACUCAUAGUCGUAAUAACCCUAAAAUAUUCCUAUCCUAUGACAUGCCAAUUAUAUCUAACUCUUCCCAAAUAGUUAACACAGUAACAAUUUCUCAGUUUCAUUAAUAAUUUUUUUUCAAAUCAAUACUAUUAUUUCAUCUAUAAAUCAUCAAUAUAUGUAUAUGACAACAUAAUCCAUGUCAAAAUGGACUCAAUUUAACAUUUAUGUCAAUGUGCGACAUUGCCGAAUAUAUUCAAUUUAGUCCUCUUUACAAACAACCAGAUCCGAAUCGGAUCAAUUCAACUCGUUUUAUCAUUUUCAACUCACCUUAUGAUCUUACCAUGCAAAACAGUACAUAAAUGCAGCAAAAGAAGUAGUUCGAAUUAUAAAAAUAUAAAUUGUAAACUCCGAGCUAUUUAUUGAUAGUUUUGUCUUUUCCUUUCCUUUUUUAGGAAUUCGGGUUGACAUUAGCUACAGAUUAACAUAAACACAAUGAUUCGUCAAUACAAAAUCAAAUUCACUCAAUUUCAAAUUUAAACAACAUUUACAAUUUAUUCAAUUUAGUCCCUAAAAUUGGGACUAACAUAACUUUCAAUAUAGAACUUAAAUUUUUAAUAGGAUUUCAUUGCAAUCCAUUUAGGACCUCCUAUUACUCAUUUCCACCUCUAAUUUCGUAAUUUAUGCAUUUUAGUACCCAUUGUGUGAAACUAUCAAACAACUAUAUAAAUUAGUCCUUUUUCACUCCUAAUCUUAAAAUCUAUCGAUUUAGUUCCUAAAACUUCAAGAUAUCAUCAAUUACAUAUUUCCAAAACUUUAACAGUUUUGAAAAAUAUCACACAAGUUAGCUAGAUUAAGCUCUCAGGAUUUCAAAGACAUAAAAAUUAUAAGAAAAUGAUUAAAUGGCACUAACCAAUUUGAAGCUUGAAAUCUUAGAACCCUAAACCAAUUUUCAUUCUUAUUCUUCUUCAAUAUUUGGCAUGGAUGAAUAGAAACGAGAUCAGCUCUCUCUUUUUGUGACACCCUACACCCGACCUGGUCACCGAGUCUGAGUACCGAAUGUCACAGUUAAACCUGUACCACCCCAAACCUGGCCUAAGAGUUAUGGCCGAAUCUGGCUGUCACAUUGAAGUGUCUUUCGAAAAACAGACUCGUUGGUAAAAAUUUGUUUCUGAGUUUAAAAUAAACCCUUUUAUUAUUAAUUAACAAUCAACUAGUCAAAAUGUUUGUCUUGUUAUCUGAUAUUGUCUUAAUAGGUUGAUCUAAAAUCACGGAAGCUUUUGAAUACUCUAAAGUUUAAAUUUCGUGUCUUGGAAAAUACUAGUUAUUUUGAAAAUACGUUUUCUCCUAAAUUAGUUGUUUAAAAUAAGUAAGCCAAAGCCCAAUUUAAAAAAAAUUAAACAAAUAUAAAAGGCCUUAUUACAUAAACCAAACCCAACAUAAAAUUUAAGUUUAAUUAAAAGCAGUGUAAAACAGCUGCAGUUGUGUGGCCACCUCUGAGUCCCUCGUAACACCAAAUCGCCUAUGGUUGAGGAUUACCUGUACAGUAAAAAGGAAAUGGUGAGUUUACGAAAACUCAGUGUGUAAUCCCCUAACAAGUAAACAGUCAAUUAAACAGUAGAUAAAUGCAGUUUGGGCCUGAGCCCGUUACAAUAACAAUCCAGUUCAGUGUGGGCCUAAGCCCUUUCCCGUAACAGUAAAUGAUUGGGCUCGAGCCCAUCACAAUGCCAGUAAUCAGUAGGGCCUUUGCCCAAUUUCAGUAAUAUUAUCAGUGGGGCCUAGGCCCAUAACAGUAACAGAUAUCAGUCAUGCAGUGAACAGUAUGUAAUAUCAUUAAUCGAUGCAGUAAUAGUACAAAAUCAUUAAUCAGUGCAGAUAUGCAGUUAGAAAUCCUACCCAAUCUAGCCUCAACACACCAUUCUAUCCCACCAAACACACCAUGUAGGGAUAAAAUCGACCCACCCAGCUAGACACACCAAGAUUAGCACCGGUUGCGGCACUAAACAGUACUGCAGCAAAGCUGCCAGUAUAUUAAGCGACAUAUAACCAUCAGUAGGUCCACAGUCGUCUUGGGCGACCCGUGCAACCUUAUCAGUACGGUACACUUCCUCCAAAUAUAACAACCCAUCCCCAUGCAAUAUAUCAUGACAUAAUAUCAUACGUGUAUGCAAAAUGUCAUGUUCUAUCAUAGUCAUACAUAUUAUAGAGCAAUUCAGUCAUACAUAACAUAAGGCCAUAACAAUCAUUUCAUCUCCUAGGGGUAUAACAGUCAUUUUACCCUAUAGGGGUAUUUCGAUCAUUCUACCCUAUGGGGGUAUUUUAGUCAUUUUAUCCUAUGAGGGUAUUUCAGUUAUUUUACCAUAUGGGGGUAUUUCAGUUAUUUUACCCUAUAGGGGUAUUUCGGUCAUUUUACUUUAUGGGGGUAUUUCAGUCAUUCUACCCUAUGAGGGUAUUUCGGUCAUAUAUCAACCUCUCGAAAGGUCCGCAGUCGCCUCGAGCCACUCAGGUUACCUAAAUGGUCAUAACAGAGUAAAUGGGCCCAAGGCCCAUUACUCGGCCUAAGUUGUCUCACACUCUUGUACGGCCCGUUCAGCCCAGAUUUCCCUACAGCUAUGCGAUCUACAUAACCCAGUCCAGUAUUUGCCACAAAAUCGUGGUUUUUAUCCGUGUAGGCCCACGAGCCUACACAACCCAUUUCGACCCAACGUGGCGCAUUACAGCCUAAGCCCAUGAAAAUGCUCAUUGAGGCCUUCACAGUUUAUCACCCAUGAUUCAUAGGUUCGGCUUUCCACACGAGAGAUCGCACGCUCGUGUGGCCUUAAACAUCGUAUUUCGGUUUUUCAGCUUUUUUCGUUCUACAGUCACAGUGGGGAGUUUACACACCUAAUGUGGAUUUGCAGAUUCCCUUUGAUCCGAACACACUCUUAUUCCGCAAAUCAAUGAUCAUCUCACCCUUGGUUCCCAGGCAAUGUGCCAAUCAACCUCGACCACCACCAUGUAGGAAUGGAAGCAAUGCAGGUUGGAGAAAGCAACGAAAACCUUGAAAACCUCGCCGAUCUCCCUAUGGAGAAUAAGGAACAAAUGAGAUGUGAUAUAUAUAUCUCUCCACAACAACAACCUCCCUAAAUCCCAAUAUUCUCUCCUCAAAUCUCUCCAAAUAUCCCUCCUCAAUUCUCUCUAUAACCAGUUCAAACUCCAUUUAGCAGUAUUUCAAUUCAACUCUACCACCCACACAAAUUAGGCAACAAAAUAAAUACUCCAUUGUACAACCCAAGACUUAAAGCUUAGACCUCAUAGUUACACAACACGCCACCUUUCCAUUAGACCACAAGCUCUUUUUCUGUCAUAAAACCAACACUAUUAUUUAUAAGGCCUAUAUGCCAGUGUCCAGAUUCAUUUAAGAGCAAAACUAAAAAUUUUGUCAAGGUCAAGACUUGAACCCAGGCUCCCUUGUAACCUUAAUAACGCCACAACCACUAGACCACAUGCUUCAUUAUGACAUUUUUUUACACAAUAAUUUAAAAGGCCUACAUCCAAGCAUCCAGGGUUUUAUCCACCUAAAACCAAAAUUUUUGCUAAGUCCCAGGUUUGAACCCAGGACUUUUCCAACUCCUCUCAGGACCCUUAACCACUAAAGCAGACAUACUUUUAUACACAGUUUCCUAACCAUUCCCUUGCUCAAGGCCCAAUACUUCUAGACCCAAAUUCUGGGGCAUUACAAAACCGUAUUACUUGACAAGUUUUCUAACCAGAUUUAUUUACCCACUUAGACAGUAACAAAAUUCAAUUUUUAACUUCUAUUAUAACUCAUAUCAUAUGAGUAUUACAUUAUUAUAAACUUCUACCUUAUUCAUCUCACAACUAUUUAAAAAAAUUUAAAAUUUAGACUUUAAUACAGAUAUAUCCACUUGAUCCCCGAGGUGUGGCCACUAAGGGUGCCCCUUUAUAUGCAUGGUACAGCUACCGCGCCCUUCGCACAAGGCUGGAGGUGUCUGGCUUGGUCCCUUCCCACAACGACUCCAAUAAUUUUAAUCCUGCAUCCAAGGCAACACUAUCGUAAUUUCAAUUGAACUUAGUGAGAUUCUGUACAUCAAUGAACAAAAGCACUAUGUUUCUAGAACAAAAUAGAAACACAUAAUUUAAAACCCCCUGAGCAUCUUAAGAAGUCUACUGAUUUGUUGGCAUAACCAAGCUUUGGAAUCUUUGAGCCAGUCAUUUGGCAGACUUAAUCCAUGGUUUAGGCAUAGAUUCACUUUUCCAAAUAUCUAUUUCUUCUAGGAUUUAACCAAGAAAAGCUUCCUUAUGGACAUCCAUAUUACCUUUCCUAGCUUGCCUCUCUAAAUAUAGUCACAAACACAAAUCAUUCACACUAUCGACUUCUACCAGUCGAUUUACGUUGUAACGGCUUCAGUGGAGGAUCCUUGCCUUGAUCUAUUCAUUUCACACUAAACUCAUUAUAUGAUUACCUUAUUACCUCGGAAACUAUCUUCCUUCGAAUUAGCCCUAGAAUAGACCCUUCCCUAAGGAAACCCAAUUUGAACAUCUUCACCUGUAGUCUCGUAUAUGACAUUUGGCUGCUUGCUGAACACCCUUUCCUUACAGACUCGUCCGCAGGAUAACCCCGUAGGAUAUUUCCUUUUCAGAACAUUUUUGCUAAGACUAUGUCUUUAUCAGGUUUCCCUUUGGCGAAUUUUCCACUACGGACAGUCCCACGCAGACUCCUCAUACCAAAUAGACCCGAUAGGUACAGUCUUCUUUAGAUAAAUCCUGGUGAUCUCUCCACCAAAGACAAUUAUUGGUGGACCUCCCACUCUUGAUAAAAUCCUUGGCGGACUUACCUGUCUCUGGCUACCUCUUACUAGAAGACCCUUAGGAUUUAAAAUCCACUUGUUCGGCUCACUAUCAUACCCGAUACUAGUUUACUCACCAAACAUUGGCAAACACAUAGUGGAGAAUACUUAGAUACCUCGAAGAAUAUAUCAUUUUCAUAACAUCAGCCACAUUAAAACUGCUUCCACCAAUUCCUCUUACCGUCAUAAUUUGGCAGAUCCCCUUAUCAACAAGCUUACCCGCAUUCUCAAACACUUCUACCUACCUUCAAAUUUUGGUGGAUCCUCUUGUUAUCCCAUUUGCCAGUCUUCUCAGUCACGCUAUGAUCAUUCAGUCUUACUACUUGUCGCGAGAGUUAUACGAUGACUACCCCUUUUUAUGCCCUGGUGGGCUUCCUGGUUCUUUGUACUUACGAACUUCAUAUGUGGCCAUAGCCCUGCUAUGGUCUUACACAUUAUGAUCUCAUGUUUACUAUCCUGGUGGACUUCAUAUGUUGCCAUAGCCCAACUAUGAUCUUACACACUAUGGUCCCAUCUUUACUGUCUUAGUAGACUUUAUAUGUUACCAUAGCCCAACUAUGGUCUCACACAUUAUGGUGCCAUGCACCUAUGACUCCGAAGAAUUAGUAAACCUUUUUUGAGGUGUCACCUCGAAGGACCAAUCGAUAACCACUAUCACGGUGUUGCUCCAUAGAGUUGAUAGAUCGUCAUCACGGUGUCGCUCUUGCAACCGGUAGAUAACCAUUCCACGAUGCCGCCCAACUCCCUCAGCUCCCCGAACUAUUCGUUCGUUUCUCUAUUACGCUAACUUUUCCUAUCUUCAUCUACCUCGUCAAGGCAUCUCCCUCAUUACUCUGUAUUAAAUAACAUAUAUGCAUUUCACGUAAUUAAUUGUAUUUAUUUCUAUAGCAUACAGUAUGUCGUCCAUUAAUACAUCAACUCACAACUAAUUAGCAUACAAUAUACAUACUUGCAAGGAUACUCAUUCUUACGCAUCAUUAUGCAUACACAACAUACUCGUUCACCAUGUUCAUACACAACCACAGAUUCAGACAUCACAGAACAGACAUAGACACAUAUCAUUCAAGCAGUUCAAUGUUAUCAAUCACCCAAAGAUGGAGCAUAGAAACUCACCUAAACUUUUUUAUCCUUGCCAGCUUAGCUUUUCCAAAUGCUAGAGCCUCCAUCAUCCUGGACACUAAGCACGACAACCGUAUAUCAGUUAAAUCAAAAGAAUUCUAACUUUAAACCUUGAAUCAAAUUUCUAUAUAGGAGCUUUUUAGGGAUUAUUACUUCUUUUUCCUCUAAUUAUGGACAUAGAGGGAAUUAGGAGCUUACCAACUUACUGGAUUUUAUUUUUCUUGACCUUAGACCUCACGAUCACCACCCCACGCAACGAUUUUCUUAACUCUCCCUUCUUCGAAGCAACCGAAGAAGAUGAUGCAAAUGAGAAGGAAAUAAAAUCAAAAUUGAGAAGAAUUCAUCUGUUGAGUAAGGCUUCUCCCCUAUAUAUAACCCUUUUCGCAUGGUCAUCAAAGCCCCAAUUAACCACUCACCAAUAAUUAUUGUGCCUCCCACUAAGGGACCAGCUAUUUCUCUUUUAACUGAACGAGAAUGGAAACUUAACUAUUUACCAAUCAAUCACAAAAUUCCUAAAAUUUCCAGUAAAUCUUGCCUUCUUAUCAUUCUAUUCAAAUAACUCCUAACUUUCCUUUAAUUUUGGGGCAUAAGUGAAAACCGAGUGUGACACUUUCCAUCCACUAAGUUUAUUUGUUAAGCUUUAAUUCAUUUUACCAUUAUUUAUUAAAUUACCCUUUUAGCCCUUCCAUAAAUCAUAUAGCUAGCCACUGUCCACUACCCUUAUUAAUGAUCAUGGUCUAAUUGCUAACUUGAUCCUUGUCCCUUACUUUUAAUUACCAGUUCUUUGGCAAUUUUAAAUUUAACCACUUUUACAAUUUAGCCCUUAUACUUAAAUUAUUCACUAAUUUAAUAAAAUUUCUUAUUCAAAAUUUAAUUCACUUCUAAAAUAACUUUGUAAAUAUUUAGUUUACGAAAAUGGAGUCCCAAAAUUAGAGUUUUCAGCACUAUUGACUUUCGGGUUGUUACACAUUAGACGCAUGUUAAAUCUUUCAUGAACUACCAGUUUAAUAAUAUAUUUAAAGAUUAUUGCAUCCACCACAAAAUAAGAUUAUAUAUUUUCAUAACCAAUGCCAGGACUUAGCGAAAAGCUUCACAUUUCUUAUUUCGUUUUUGUAAAACUACUUCAUUUGUACCCUUACUGGCUUUAUACCUUUAGCUAUAUAGACUAUGGGUCCAAAACCUCUACAAAUUUAAUUGUACUUGAGUUACGUCUUUCAAUUUUGGUCAAUCUAUUCCAUAUAUAUAUUUCUUGACAAAUUUAUUCAAAAUUAUCAUUUUCUUUUUUUACCUCAAUAAUACUAUUGCAUGCAAAAUCGUUGUAAAAAAAAUUUCUAUUUCAUGGUUCCAUAUUUUCUUGUAUUGACAUAACUUAUCAAGAUCUCUUUAUUUUCAUUUUUUAUCAUUUUUAAGUACGUGAAUCCCUUUGAGAGUUUUAAUAAUUAGUUAUGUCUUAGGCCUCUUCAAGAGCACCUACCUCCACUAUAUGAUCAUUUAGAUUUAUUCUUUUCUUUUACAAGAAUUAUCAUCUAUCAAACAACCAUGACUCAGGCAUGUAUUACCUUUAAUUAGUCUAAUAAGUUUUCCUACUGGAAUUUCAGUUCAAAUCAAAACAUUAGCUGGUAUGUAACACUUGGUUAUUCUCAUCAAGUCAAUAGGUGCAUUUGGCAGUUAAGUUGUACUAAAGUGAAUUAUCUUUUUGAAUUUCUAAUUCAAAUUACUUUCUACGAGGAUCUACAUAAUGAUAAUUCAUUCUAUUUAAUCAUUUCAUCUAGCUAUUACCAUUUUUCCCCCUGAUGUUGGGAAAACUUGUUAAAUUAAAGUCCUAAUCAUCAAAUCAUAUCAUAAUUGAAUCUCCAAUCCGAUCAAAACAUAUAAUAAUAAGAGAUUCAUAAUUAGUAUAUAUUCCAAACAUUAUUUGAAUAUCCAUUUUGUGCAUUGUGGUGGAGCAACUUAAACAUAUAUCACACAUUUAAAAAUUCUAAAAUGGAAUGUAUUUGAAAAUUAAAAAGCCAACUGUAAUGAAAAGGAUUUAUCAAAACGUAUUGGCAUGAUGCGUACAAGUGUAGAUUGAUAUAAAAUAUCAUAUCCUUAUAUACAAAAAAAAAAUUCUCAACAGUAAUGGUUUAGCUAUUAACUUAAGGCAUUUAAUCAUUAAUUUUGCUAAACCAUUUCAUUCGUAUAAACAAUAGGCUUUUGCAAGUUACUCGCACUAAUAAUCUAGCAUAUAAUAGUCAUUGAAAGUAUGAGUAAUAAAGUCACCAACAUUAGCCAGACUUGUACCAAUUGCAUAAUCUGAAAGUUUUGUUCAUAAACAAAUCAUUAAAUAAGUAAUAUCAUAAACUACAAGUUGCGAGUGAUAACUCACAUGUAAUUAACUUGCAGAUGCAUCUACCAAAAUUAUAUCAAAAUAUUCACUUCUUGGAUAAAUGAGCCCAUAUUUCUUUCAGAAAUGUAAAAGAUUCAAUAUCAACUUUUGCUAGUGAGGUUUAAUAAAAAAAAUUAGACCAAGCAACACUUGAUAAAUGAAGAAUCUCCAGGUUCUUUAAUAAAUAUUCAUGUAAAUUCUUAUCUUGUUGCAUCAUUAUUGGUCAAGAUGGUCUAACUAAUCAUGCCAACUAAUGAUUAUAUUUGGACUAGUAAACUUCUUGUUUACUAUGCACAUGAUUCAACAAUACUAAUGUAUACUUCUGAUUUACCAUCACAUGUGAUUUAACUAUGCAAACAAAUAUACUAGAAUUGUAUUGAAGAAAACACUAAAUUAAUAAGUCUAGAGUUGGUUAUAAAUGUCAUAUUUGAAACAUCCAAAUAUAGAACAUUAGUUUCAAUAAAAUAAAAUCAAAGCCAAAGCUACAUGCAUUUGUUGCAAAUAGAUUUUAUCAAUUUACAAAAUACACACAAACACAUAUUUAAUUUGUAUAGAUAUAUGUGCAAAAUUAAGCAAAGCAUAGAAGCAUACCAUAAAUGCACAAUAAUUAAAAGUUGGAAUAUAGGAUGAAACUAUUCAUUUGAAUUCCAACGCAAAUCUUAUUAUCAGUCUCAACAUUAUCUUCACUUUCCACUUUUGGUGGUAAGAAAAAUUACUAUGACUACCCAUAUGACGAUUAUUACAGUUCCACCUACCAUGUCCACGAUUAUAUCCUUUGAAUUUGUUAUAUAUUGCUACAUUCACUUUAGGGAAUGGAGUAGAUCUAGUAAGACAGACUUAAUGUUUUUUCUUUAUUUAAUAACUUGUUAUUUUAUUCAAUCACAAUUAAACAACAUUUUUUCACGGUAUUGCUACUGUAGGAGCACAUUUAUAGCACGAAAAGUUGAAAAAGGUUUCUAACAAGUUCUUAUAGUAAUACUCUCCCCAUAUAAUGUUAAUUUGAGAACUUAUCCUAAAUAUUUUAAUGUUAUAUCCAUGUCACACCCUGAAGAAUGGGUUAGAAGAAUCAGGUCUUUUAAUCAGAGGUUGUGUCAGAUAAUAGAAAAUAGGGUCGUAAGUGAGUAACGUGAGUAUGUGAGUUUCAUAAUCAGGUUCUUUCUUUAUUUGUUAGCUCAAAACAAAAUUCAAUUUUGAAGUCUAAUUUGAAAAAAAUGGAUUUCAAUUUAUUUAGAGCCUAAUUAGAAAAAAGAAAAAGCUAGGAGUGACUAAAAGGGCAAAUUGCCCAAUUUUUGUAAAUUGGCUUUCAAAUAGCAACCACUCACGUCUUCCCCUCAUCUUUUUCCAUCAUUCAAAACAACAAAUUAUCUUAAACCAAAAUCCCCUAUUUUCUCCCUAAUUGACUUAAUCUUCGCGAUUUUCUCAUCUCCCACUCUAAAAUCUCUCCCAAAUUUUUAAGAAAACCCCCAAAAAGAUUAUCAAUUUCCUUAUUCGAUUUCCAAAUGAAUAUUUUGACAAUCAACCUUUCGUUCAUUCUUCUUCUUGAUAGAGGUAAAUUUUUGUUUCCUUAUUAAACUUUGAUAUAUUCUAGCUACUCAAAUCAAGUUUGAUUUGUUUAAAGAGAAUUUCAUGUUUUAGUCAAAAUUAGGGUCUUUAAUGGAUAAAUCUGGGUUUUCCAAUUGAAAUGUUGUUUGUAGGUAUUUUUUGACUUUUCUUAAUGAGACUAGAAGGUUUUUAAACUUGAUUUAAUCAAUCGUUAAAAUAUUUGAAGGAUUUAAUGAUUUUUUGUUCAAAGUACUCAUGAAUGUCGAAAAUUUUCAGAAACAUAAAUCUAAAAAUGAUGGAUAGUUUAAAGUUUGAGAUAUGCUCUUAAAUGAAUAACUAGGUGUUUGGAAUCGAUUUUAAGCAAUAGGAACAAGUCUAAAUUAAGAAAUCUGAGUUCCCGCUAAACUAGUCAAAAUUUUUGGUUUAAAGAGGAGUUAGGUAGAAUCUACGUUAAUGUUUGAUUUAUGGUGAGUUUAUGGCUGUUAAUUGUUUUUACAUAGUAUGUGGUUAAUGUUUGUUAAGUUUCAGAAUCAUUGGAGCCCUCUACGAGUAAGGCGAAAGGUAAGGAAAAGCUAGGUUUGAGCUUUUGGCUAAUAAGUGGAAACGUGAUUGGUGAGUGUCUUGAGUCACUAUUGGUAUGCACAAUCCGUAGCAUUAAUCGAGAGCUUAGGAAUUGCCUAAACUCUUAUCCUAUGUUCCGAGUGUAUGCCUUCUUUAUACUUUUGCCUUGAUAUAAAACUUUGCUUAAUAUAUGUCGAGUUAAGGAAUGUGAGGUUCUUAUGACAAGUAAUGUGUAUGAAUAUUUGGAUGCAAUAAAUUGAUUUUAAUGCACACAAAUGUAGUCUGAUAUGUGAUGGCUCAAUUAGCAUUGUUGUGGCACUUAAAGUGCAAAUAAAUGUGAAUUCGGUAAGCAUGCAUUGUGUACAAGUUUGUGGUGUAAAUUGAUGAAUAUGAAUAGAGAUGAUGUGCAUUAAUACAAUAAUUAAAUAUGUGUAAUUGUGGAUAUUUUUGCCUUGUGAUCUCUUGAAACCGUUGGAUAUAGUUGGCAUGCCAUAGAUGGAGAGAUAAGGGAAUGUCGAGCUAAGCUCCAUUCAUUAGGACAUGCUGGUAUGAUGGAGAGUGUUUAGCAACAUGCUACACUUAUGGGACAUGUUAGAGUUUUUGAGUCAUUGGUGGGAUGGAAAUUUAUGUAUCUAAUGUGCGGUGAUAGACUCUAGUUUUACGUUUCAUAAUCUCCAGUUGUCAAAUUAUCAUUAAAUGAUUUAUGUAUGAAAUAUGUCAUAUGUAUGUGCAUGUGAGUACUUAAGCUAAACAUGUGAGAUAAUGUACCAUGAAUAUGAUAUUUUGACUUAAUGAAAUAUGAAUGUGAAUGUGUCGUAGUAUGCUCUUGCUUAACAUAUGACGUUGUGUAUGCUUGUGGUAAUUUUGAACAUUCACUGAGCUUGUUUAAGCUCACACACUUCACAUUAAAAUUUUGCAGAUAAGUAGCACUUUCGGUGUGAAUGGUGUGGCCAAGGAAGUGAUCUUAGCAAGGAAAUAAACUUUUGAAUAGGUGGUUUUAUAAUUUUUGAACACUUUGAAUAAAGGCAUUAUUGAAUACUCAGGACACAAUUAUCGAUACCAUGAGGUUGGGAUGUUUUUAAAAAUUAACAAUAACCCAAUUUUGUAUCGAUACCCAACUACGAGUAUUGCUUGAAAUAUCAAUACUCUUACCAAAGUAUCGAUAAAAUGGUUUAAAAAAAUUUUGACAGAGAGCUAAAAAUGUAUCAAUUUUUACAUCAGUAUCAAUACCUAAUUUACUAUAUAUCAAUACCUACUAUUUUGUAUCGAUACCUACAUUGUUUUCUUUAGGACUUUUAAAAAAAUGGACCCUAUUUACGGAUAAAACUGUUUCUAGUGUCGUAUAAUGUUUAACUAGACAGGACCACCCUUUUUGAUUAUUGAAUGUAGUAGUUGUUGUUCUUAUUUGAAGCUAUCUGUGCAUGUGUAUAAGGGUCCGUUUGUUUACAUGUAAAAGGUUUUACGGAAAAUAUUUUCUGCAUUUUCCUGUGUUUGUUUCACAGAAAACAGCUUCGUCAACAGAAAAUGACUUACAAGUCAACGAAAAAUAAGCCUUUUUCCUUGUAAAAUGGCUUACCUUUUUGAAAAGCGUAAGUCAUUUUCCGGAAAAGAGCUUCUCAAUAGAUAAUUUUACUUUGAUAUAAAAAUUAACUUAAAUCAAGUUUAAUAUUAUUAUAUUGAUAAUAAUUUUUAUUUUUAUUUUUAAAAAUAUUUAAAAUAUUUAAAAUAUUAAUAGAAACUGUUAUAUUUUUUAAUAUUAUUAAACAUACGUAUUUAAUUAUUUAUAUUUAGUCAUAUAAUAAAUUAUUAAUAUAAUUUAUUAUUUUUAAUAAAUUAUUUAAUACUUAAAUUUUAUUUUAAUAGUAAAUUUUAAAAAUAAUAAUUUUAAAUAAUAUUAUUCACUUGAAAAAAUCAAUAUUAAUAUUUUAAUACUAAAUAUUUAUUACAAUUAUAAAUAUAUUAAUAAUAAAUAUUUUGUAGUAUAAAUGUUAAAUAUACUCUUCACAAUUUUGCAAUUUAGUUUCUGUACUUUUAUUUUCAAGAAUUUAGUCCCUCUACUUUCCAAAUUUGAAAAUCAAGUCAAACUACUGACAUUGUUGUUUUUUUUGUCAAUUUUGUUAAAGUCACAUUUUUAAAUAAAAAAAUACUCAGUUGGUAGUCAUGUAACUAAAAAAUAAUCGUUGCAAUGAACCUAAAUUUAACAAAAUAUUUUUAAUAUAUGUAAAAACAAUGUAAAAUAUAAAAUUAUAGAUAUAAAAUAAACUCAAUUAAACAAUGAAAAAAUAAAUAAAAAUCUCAAAUGUAUGUUUGUUUAAUUGAAAACGACUUUUAUGAAAUAUUUUUAAAGAACCUGUCAAACAAAAGAAAAUAUUUUACACAGAUUCAUCCAAACACCAGAAAAUAUUAGCUUUUCUAGAAAAGUAAGUUAUUUUCCAGAAAUCAUUUUCCAGAAGCUAUUUUCAGUGAAACAAACGGAGCCUAAGUUUCAAUAGCGAUUGUAGCAUCCUAUUACUAGGUUUUGACGACCAGGCCAGAUAAGGGGUAUUACGUUUGAUGGUAUCAGAGCCUAGGUUUUCUAAGAGUCAGACCUAAGUUUGUUAGUAUUCGGGACUAGGGUGUAACCUAUGUACCUAGAUUUUCAUAUUACUUAAACUGUUUGACUUGAAUAUCUCUGUUAAAGUUAUUGUGAAAUUGUUUUUUUUGGGGGGUAGGAUUGGGAACACAUUUCCUUUAUUUAAAUGUUUCCUUUCAGGAACAUGCCUUGGAUCAUUUCCCGCCACUCACACUCUUGGUUGAUUGUGUUUGUUAGAGUAGAUACAAUAUGCCUCGUAGACGUGUUAAUGUGAAUGGGAACGCUCAAGAGGAUAGUACAUCCUCUGCACCUCUUGUGAUGCCUCAUAGAGUAAAUGUACCAGAUGAGAGUGUUGGCCUUCUGAUGCAAGCCAUGAUUGGGGUAUUUCAGAGGAUUGUAGAUGCCAACCCUGCUCCUUCCAAUCGGGGACUGCCACUUGAAUAUCUGCGGGCAUUAGGCGAUAAUUUACUCGAUUAAAGGGAGUUGAUCCAACUAUAGCGAAAUACUAGCUUGAAAGUGUGGAGAGGAUCCUUGAUCAUAUGUCCAGUAUUGGCGACGAGAAGUUGGGAUGUACUAUGUCCCUACUCGACAGAGAAACCCACCGUUGGUGGAAUACAUUGAAGAGAGGUACUAUUGCAGACCGUUUGACUUAAGAUUAUUUAUUAGAAGUGUUUAAAAGGAAGUUUACGGGUGAGCAGUACUUGGAAGCCCGUAACCUUGAAUUUAUAGACAUGGUUCAAGGUAGUUUGACUGUGGCUGAGUACGAAUCGAAAUUUGUGUGACUCAGCCAGUACGUUCUUGAGAUGGUACUUACUAAGAGAGACUGAUACUAGUCGUUUUGUUUUGGGCUUAAUCAAGAGAUUACAGUUUAUUCGGUAGCUCAAAAUAUUGAGUUGUUCGAUGAGAUGGUUGAGAAAUCCAAAGCUAUUGAGGAAACUUUGGCUGAGCCAUCGUGCUCAGUGGUGACUGAAUCAGGGAAAAGAACCUUUAAUAGUUCUAAAAGAUCUAGACGACCGUCUAAGAGAGGCCAUGAUAUUUAGGGUUUUGAUAGGAGUGCAUGACACGAGUUUAUACCAAGUCAAUCUAAGCAGCAGAGCAGUAUGGUGGUUAGCAUUGGUGGGUUGUCAAGAGAAUCUGGAUGGCCGUAUUGUGGACAUUAUGAGCGUAGACAUUCUGAAGAGUGCCAAAAAUUGACAAGAGGAUGUCUCAAGUGUGGCUCUAAAGAACACUUGGUGAGGGAUUGUCCAAAUAGAGUUGAGGUUUCGUAGACUCAGAGUUUUGCACCUGUACCUGUGCAUGCUCAAGGUCAUGGCCGAGGUAGAGGUGGUAAUGUGGGACCGGUUGGGCAGUGGGAUGCUGCUCAUAUCGUUACUACUCAGGUGGAGACCGAAGGACCAGCUCGCAUGAAUGCUAUUAGGAAGUCACAAGAUUAGGAUUCUAUCAAUGAGAUUGCGGGUAUUUUUUCCUUGUAAUCAAUCCAUUUAUUCUCAUUGGUAGAUUUAGGAUCUAUACCUUUGUAAAUUUUGUGCAAUUUAACUAAUAAGCAAAGAAUCCAGAUAAAGGCUAUUAAAUUAGGAACUAUGAUUACGAGUUCUUCAAAUGAGAGAUCAUAGAGAAUAAAGGAAACUAAUAGUGAAGUCACCGAAAGACAGUCCAUGGUAGUGAAUAGGAUCUUCAUAAAAAACCCUAAAAAAGUUAAAAAGGAAUCUGAGUUGUGCAGCGAAAGCGUGGUGGUUGUUUUAAAGGAAAACAUAACAGGUUUUGUGAUUAAGUGAAUGAUGUGUCAUCAGGAAAAUUUCGAGGACAAAAUUCUUUUUAGAGGGAAAGAGUUGUCACACUUCGAAGAACGAGUUAGAAGAAUCGAGUUUUUUAGCUGGAGGUUGUGUCAGAUAAAAGAAAAUAAGGUCGUAAGUGAGUAAUUUAAGUAUGUGAGUUUCAUAAUCAGGUUCUUAAUUUAUUUGUUGGCUAAAAAAAUUUCAAUUUUGAGGUCUAAUUAGAAAAAAGGAAGAGCUAGGUGUAAUAGCCCGUUUUCAGUGAAAUCGGAACAGUGGUUUAGGGGCCACAAAUUCGAGGUCAAAAUAAAAUUUAUUUUAAUAUUAUUUUAUGGUCUACAAUAUGAUAGAAAUAUCAUACCAAAAUUUCAUUAAGAAAUUUUAUCGUUUACAUGUCUAAUUUGAUAAAGAGGGUCAAAUUGCAUAAAGUGCAAAAGUUGAAUUCUAGUAGCUAAAGGUAUCAAAUAGCUAUGGAAUUUAAAAUUUGAAGUCCUUAUAUGACAAAUAGACCAUUUAGAAGAGUUAGUAGAUAAGGAUGAUUAUUCAUCAUUAGAAAUUGAAUAAAGUAUUAGGGUUAAUUUUGGAAAGAUGAUAAAAUAAUGAUGGUAAAUGAAAUAAUUAAUUAAAUUAAUAUCAUUUUCAUCAUCUUUCCUAAAAUAAAACAUGGAAACCCUAGCCAUGAGAGUUGAGCUCAAGCAAGCUUAUUUUACUUAAUUACGUAAGUAUUUUGGUCCCGUUUUUAAUGAUUUUUAUAUUUUCGAAAUCGUAAUAGCUUAAUCUAGCUAUCUUGGGUAUUAAUUUGUAAAACUAUUAAAGUGUUAGGGUUUUCCCAUGGAUGAGUAUAGUUUAAUUAUGAAAUUUUAUGGUAGAAAAUGAAAGGUUGUUGAUAGCUAAAUAACUUCUGUAAAGUGAAUUUUGAUAAAAUUAUGAUUUAGAGACUAAAUUGAAAAGAUUAUAAAUUCAUGGAAAAAUUCUAAAUUUUAUGAAAUUCAUGGGCUACUGUUGUUAUAUAUGAAAAUCAACUAGGCUUGAAAUAAGGAUUAAAUUGUAUGAAUUUCAUUUUUUGAGCCUAGGGACAAAAUCGUAAUUCAAUAAAAGUCCUUGAAUGUGGAACUUGCUUGAAGAUCUUGUUCAUCCAUGAUUAAGGGUUAUUAUAUGUGAUUACUUGGCUAACAUGAUGAGGAUAUGUGUUAGGGCUUUUGGCCAAUUUGGUUUGAAUAUGCCUUGAAUGCUUACCUUAAUUGUGAUUAAAUGGUAAGUUAAAUUUCAUGUUAUACGAACUUACUAAGUAUUAAAUGUUUACUCUGUUUUAUUUUCCCUGUUUUAUAGUAAUUCGGAAGCUCAUUUUGGUUGGAAGCUGGUCAGAGCAACUUCACACUAUCCAUCGGCCCUUUUCGGUAUAUUUAGUAAAUCAAUUUUGGUUAUAAUGACACGUAUAGGUUAACUUGGCCAAUGAUGGCAUGCAAAUGUUUUGUUGUGAUUAGCCAUUUGAAUGGCUUAUGUUUGAUACAUUUUGAUAUGUAUAUAUAUGGCCUUAACAUGUUUGAUGUGUGUGUGAUAUGGUUGAAUGAUGGAAAUCAUAUAGGCAUAUUGAUGAUUUUUUUUGAGAUAGUAUAUUUGGUACAAAUAUGCAUAUAUGUGUAUUUGGUUAAUUUGGUAAGUAUGGAUACUUAGAUAUAUGUGGUGAUAUGUUAUGUAGAAGACUUGGUUUUGGCUUGAUUUGAAUGCCUUGUUAUGUCUUGUUAUUGUGUAAAAAUGUAAGUUAGGUUGAUGACAAUUGGGGUAAAAAAUAUGGCUUGGAAAAUGGUAUAUUUUUGUCUACACGGGUAGAGACAUGGGCUUGUGUCCCCUGCAUCUUUAAAAUUGCAAAACAGAAUUCUCACACUGCCUAGCACACAGGCGUGUGUCUUGGCCGUGUGACCCAAGUCAGAGAUCUCCUAAGUUUGGACUUGGGCUGGGACACAGUCGUGUGUCCUUAUUUCGAAUGCCCACACGGCCUGAGACACGGGCGUGUCUCUUGACCGUGUGAGUCACAGGACCUGACCACACGAGCAUGUGUCCCCUACACCUUUGAAAAAUUGUAAUAUUUUCUGAAAAAUUCUCUGAGUACCAAGUUUAGUCCCGACAUGUUUCUAAUGUCUAUUUUGGGCCUCGAGGGCUCACAUAAGGGACAAUAUGAUCAAUUUUGAUUGAUUUCUAAUAUGAAUGCUAAAUGAUAUGAAAUGUCUGUUAUAUAAUCUGUAAACUUUGGUAACACUCCGUAGCCUUGUUUUGGCAAAGGAUAUGGGUUAGGGGUGUUACACUAGGAGUGACCAUAGAGGCAAAUUGCCCAAUUUUUGUAAAUUGGCUUUCAAAUUGCAGCCACUCACAUCUCCUUAUCUUUUGCGACAUUCAAAAUAAAAUUUCUCUUAAACCCAAAUCCCUAAUUUUCUCUCAAAUUGGCUUAACCUUUGUGAUUUUUUCAUCUCCAAAACUCUGAAAUCUCUCUGAAUUUUUAACAAAACCCCCCAAAAAUAUUAUCAAUUUUCUCAUUCGAUUUCCAAACGAAUUUUCUGGAAAUCAACCUUUCAUUCAUUCAUUCUUCUUCUUGAUUAAAUUAAAUUUUUGUUUCCUUACUAAGUUUUGAUAUAUUCUAGCUACUCAAAUCAAUUUUUGAUCCGUGCCAAGAGAAUUUCAUGUUUUAGUCAAAAUUGGGAUCUUUAAUGGCGAAAUUCAGGUUUUCCAAUUAAAUUGUUGUUUCUAGGUGUUUUUUGACUUGUUUUGAUGAGAUUAGAAGGUUUUUAAACUUACUUUAAUCAAUCAUUAAGAGAUUUGAAGGAUUUAAUGAUUUUUCGUUCAAAGUAGUCAUGAACGUUGAAAUUUUUCAGAAACAUAAAUCUAAAAAUUUUGGGUGUUUUAAAGGUUGAGAUCUACUCUUAAAUGAAUAACUAGGUGUUUGGAAUCGAUUUUAAGUAAUAGGAACAGGUCUAGAUUAAGAAAUUUGAGUUUUGGCUAAACUAGUUAAAAGUUUCAAAAUCGUUGAAGCCCUCUACGAGCAAGGCAAAAGGUAAAGAAAACCUAGUUUGAGCUUUCGACUAAUAAGCGAAAGCGUGAUUGGUGAGUGUCCAAAGUCACUGCUAGUAUGCACGAUUCGUAGAGUUAAUUGGGAACUUAGGAAUAGCCUAAAAUCCUAUCCUAGUUCUGAGUGUAAGCCUUCUUUAUACUUUUUCCUUAAUGUAAAACUUUACUUAAUGUAUGUCGAGUUGAGGAACGUGAGGUUCUUAUGAUAGGUAAUGUGGGUGAAUAUUUGGAUGCGAUAAAUUGAUUUUAGUACACACAAAUGUGGUCUGAUAUGUGAUGGCUCAAGGAGCAUUGUUGUGACACUUAAAACGCAAAUAAAUGUGAAUUCGAUAAGUAUGCAUUGUGUACAAGUUUAUGAUGUAAAUUGAUGAAUAUGAAUAGAGACAAUGUGCACUAAAGUAGUAAUUAAAUAUGUGUAAUUGUGGAUAUUUUGGCCUUGUGAUCUCUUAAAAUCAUUUGAUAUAGUUGGCAUGUGAUAGGAUUGUGAGCACUCACCUUUGUAUUUUGUGAUUUGGGCAUUGAAGCCCUAGGACAAGUUGGAGAGAUAAGGGAAUGUCGAGCUAAGUUCAAUUCAUUUGGACAUGUUGGUGUGUUAGGGAGUGUUUGGCAUUAUGCUACACUUAUGGGACAUGUUAGACUCUUUGAGUUAUUGGUGUGAUGGAGAUCCGUGUAUCCAAUGUAUGGUGAUAGUGUCCACUUUUACAUUUCAUAAUCUCAAGUUGUUAAAUUAUCAUUAAAUGAUUUAUGUAUGAAAUAUGGCGUAUGUGUGUGCAUGUGAGUACUUAAGCUAAACAUGUGGGUUUGUUUGGAUAGCAGAAAAUAAUUGAAUGAAAAUGUAAUUAUUAGGAUAAUAAUUACUCUCUUUUGUAAUUAUAAGAAAAUUGUAAUUUCCUAGAUGUAUUUAGUUAACAGAGAGUAAUUAUAUCGUAAUUUCCUAUGUCAUGUUUGGUAGUACAAAUUGUAAUUACACAGUUACAUAAAUUCCAUUUAAAAAAAUAUUAAUUACUAUAAAAAUUUAUUAGUAUGAUAAAAAUAAUUUAUAAAUAAGUAACAAAAAUUAAAAUAAAAUAAUCAUAUGCAUUGUGUUAGUCUAAAAAUGUAAUUGAUAAUACGAUUACUAAAAAAAUAACAAGAAAAAUAAACCAUAUACAAUUUUUUUAAUUGUUCUAGUUCAUAUUUAUUGGGUUAUUCCCUCUUUAGUAUUUAAAAUAUGCACCGUAUUAUCAUAUGUUGGUCUUUCCUCUUUAACUGAGUUAAUCAUCAUUUGAAUUUGUAUCUUUAAGAUUAUCAAGAUGUUCUUCUUCCAUGUACUUUUUGAAAUAUAAAUUAUCUCAAUUCCACCUAUGAUUAAAAUUGUGAAAUAUGCAACAUGCUAAUACGAUCCAACUUUUUUUUAUAUGUUAUACAAAGGUGAUGUUGUUAAUAUGAUAAAUAUUUUUUCAGAACAACAAAUACCUUCUCAACCGCAUUUUGAAGCCUUAAAUGUUUCAAAUCAAAGUUUUAUUGUGCUUGUGUUUAACAUUAUUUUCUCAAAUGGUAUCAUACACCACAAUAUAUUGUAAGAAACUUUUUUAUUUGCAUAAUUAACACCGACCUUAUAAUAUUUAGACUCACAAUUAGAGGUGAUCAUGGUCCGGGACUCAGCUCGAGCCCCUCUACAGCCUCUACCUCAGCCUUUAGUACCCGUCUGCGGAUACCUCAUGCACUCAUCGUAGAAUUCGUAGCUUAUCUGUGUUAACAGUUUUAUGAAUCAAUUACAGUUUUGAUAUCUAUUAGUAGAUAUUUUAUGCAAAAUAGUAUCAGAAGUUUAGAGUUUGUUAACACGAAUCGCAGACUUGCUAUAGUUUUCAGUUUCGCUACCGUUUUUAGUAUACUCUAUCUACAGUGUUCUCAGUAUAGUGUACUACCUAUAGUAGUUUCAGAACAUGCUACUCAUAUUUUCAAAAACUUACCAAAGUUUUUAGAACAUUUACAAAAUCAGCGCCGAAGACUCAGUGUACCACAUACUCAGUCAAAAAUAUUUCAAACCAUUUAAAAAUCAUCUCUUUAAAACCAAGUUUUAAAACCCAAACCCACAGCUAAGUAUUGCAACCUGGCUCUGAUACCACUAAAUGCAACACCCUAAACCCGGCCUAGAUGUUAUGGUCGAAUCUGGCGAUGUCACAUGGAAAGAGAUUCAAAGAUAAUAUUGUCGAAUUUAAAAACCGUUACAGUAAGUUAGCUUUUAUUUAAUUCGAAAAAAAACUAGUUGAUUUACUUUAAAACUUGUCUCUUAUUGAAAGCUUUUUUAACAAAUUAAUUUAGGGAAAAUCGUUUCUAUUUACGAAGAACCUUAGUUUUUUAGGAAAAAAAUCGUGUUUUGUGGAGUUGCAGUUUUUAAAAAAAUCCAUAAAAAACAGUAUAAAGUCCCAAAUUUAAAGCCAUCCAGUUCAUAGUCUAGAAAAUACAUCAAAAACCUCAAAUAAGUAAUAAAUUCUAGACAUUAUGGAAAAUAGUCUAAAAUUUACGUGUGGCCACCGUUGAGUCCUCCGCUGCACCGACCCGUCAAGUUUGGGGAUUACCUGUAUAGAUUAAAAAAAGAAAGGGUAAGUUUUCGCAAACUCAAUGUGUAAUCCCCACAGAAAACAUGCAUACAAAUAAUCAAUAUAAUUCAGUUAGAUACAGUUCGAGGCCUGUGUCCAUCACAGAAUCAGUUUGGGCCUUAACCCAUUCAGAUACAGUCUUAGAAAUGCAUUAGGACCUUGGCCCAUAUCAGAUACAAAAUGCAGAUACAGUAAAUCAGAAUCCUACCCACCAGCCUCUACACACCAUCUCCGUCCAACCCUACACACCAUGUGGGGAUUAAAUCAACCCACUCAUCCCUACACACCAUGCUGUACCGAAAUGCGGCACAUAAUCAUAAGGUUGCAGCUGAGCUGCCAGAUAACAGACUUAAUAGCCUUUCAGACACUUUCUUCAAAUAUCAUCAACCUACCCCGAUGCAAUGCAGCAUACAAAAUAUGUCAUGCCAUUUGCAAUUAAUAGUACAUACAUUCAGAUAUCAUAAGUCAUGCUCGGUAUAGAAAUCACACAGAUCACACAUAUAGGGGUCUAAGUAAAGCUUACCGACCCUUCAGUAGGUCCAUAGUUGACUUGGGCGACCCGUGCAACCUUACAGAACUUUUUAGAAAAAUAGGCUCACACGCCCAUGUGGCCCACUCGGCCCAAAUUGGCCUUGGCCACAUGAUCCAUUUUUAAUGUAACUCGUGCUAGUUAAUUAUUCAUAUAUGUUUUCACUAUUUACUUAUAUGUUCCUUCAAAGUUGUCUACUUGAGUCACUGUUACUAAAUUAUUUAUAUAUUGAGCUACAGAAUUCCGAAUUAAAAUCUACUUAAUGGUUUUGAAACUAGACUCAAAUACCUUUCUACCAUAAAAUUUUCAAAAUUUUUUGUUCUGCCAAUAAGUACAGUAAAAUCUUCAAACUUACCCAUGUUCUGCUGUCUGACAGCUUCUUCCUUUCUUUGCUAAAAAUUAAUUAUCUCUUAGUAAAAAAUUUGGAUGAUGUUUCAAUUUGUUUCUAUUGAAAAUAGUCUCAACAAUAAUUUAAAUAUGUAAAUUUUAACCCCCAAUUAUUUUUCUCCAAUUUUCACGAUUUUCCAAAGUCAGAGCAGGGGAACCCCAAUUCAUUCUGACCUUGUCUCACAAAGUUUAUUAUGCCUUUCUCAUGAAUUCAUUCUGAUGUAAUUUACCCAACAAUCAAAUAAAAGCCUACUGAACAAGAGUAAGGCCUAAUUCAUUCAAAAUACUAAAAUUUUCUCAAGCGAAGGCUCGAACUUGGGACCUCCCAGACACUUUCAGAACACAUAACCACUAAAGUUGACAGAUAUUUGUGUCAUAUUUUCAUAACAACGAAAUUAGAAAUUUUUGGGCGUUAUAAAAGUUGAGCAGAUUGAUGAAAAACAAUCUCAUAAUCAAGGGUACCACAUAAAUACCGCAAGAUUCAUUUUAAUGUAACCAGGUGGAUAGCAGUAGGCGCAUGCAUGAACUAACAUAUGCGAUUUAACGCGUAGGCAAUAUCAGGUCGAGUAAAGACCACAUACUGUAAAGCACCUACAAGACUUCUGUAUUUAGUAGGGUCAUGAAGAUGAUCCCCAUCAUCCUUAGAUAGAGGAGACGAAGUAAUCAUAGGAUUAUGAACAUUCUUUGCAUGAGUCAUGGAACUCCUAUCUAGCAGAUCGUGAAUGUGCUUUCAUUAGCAUAGAUGAAGACACCCUUCGGCGGAACGAGUAACCUUAAUCCCUAAAAAAUAAAGGAGAUCACCCAUAUGUUUAAGUGAGAACUCCUUAUUCAACUACUGAACAAAGAUAUUUAUACAGGUAGACAUGCUUUCAGUAAUGAUAAUAUCAUCCACAUACACAAGAACAUAAAUAGUGGAGUUAGGCGUGACUUUAAUAAACAAAGAUGUAUCAGACUUUGAUAGAAGAAAACCAACAAAAAUGAGAAAGCACUUCAAUUUAUCAAACCAAGCACGCGGAGCCUGACGUAGUCCAUACAAAGCCUUCUUCAGACGACAGACCAAAUGUUUACCAUUAGAACCAUAUUGAACAUACCCUAGAGGUUGCUGCAUAAACACUUCAUUAGUAAGAUCACCAUUUAAAAAGGCAUUAUUCACAUCCACCUGACGAAGUUGCCAACCCUUGGAAACAACAAUAGAUAGUAUGAUUCGAAUAGUAGCAGGUUUUAUUACCGAACUAAAUGUUUCCUUGAAAUCGCACCCAGGUACCUGAGAACAUCCUUUAAUUACUAACUAAGCCUUACGACACGCAAUCGUGCCAUCAAGAUUUUAUUUACUUUGAAAAGUCAUUUACAUCCGAUCACUUUACAAUUAUUUAGUAACGGAACAAGUUUCAGGUGGAGUUAUGAAUGAGGGCAUCAUACUCAGACCGAGCAGCGGCAAGCCAUUUGGUGGUAAAAAUGGCUUUCUCAAUCGUGUGAGGCUCAACAGAUUCAACAGACAGAGCCUUGGGCUUAAAAACGCCAGCCUUAGACCAAGUAACCAUCGGAUAAGUAUUUGUUAGGUGCAAAAGAGCUGACGAAAUAGUAGGAGAAACUGGAAUAUUAGAAGCAAUCGUGGUUGGAUUGGGUACACCGUCAUUGUCAGGUAAAGAGGAGAGAGGACAGAGCUCAUGUGCAGAUCCCAAAACAACCUGAAGAACUUUAGAGUUAGAGAGAGAGGGACAUAAACCAAGAGGUGAGGUCAACGCAAGAGGUUGAGCGGAUGAGGACUCCUUGGGUCGAGAGCAGACAGGUUGAACAAGAGGAACAUAUGUUGGUGAGAGAGAUUGACCUAAUGAAGAUCUGGAACCUCCCGUAACAGACAUAGGAAACAGAAAAUGGUGUUCAUCAAACACAACAUGAUGAGAAAUAAUGACCUUACCAUCCGGUGUGAGACAUUGAUACCCUUUAAGUUAGGAACUAUAUCCUAUAAACGUAUAAGGUUAAGAACAAAAAUCUAACUUGUGACGCAGAAAGGGACGCAGAUACGGAAAACAACAACACCUAAACAUUCGUAAAUGAUCAUAUGUGGGAUCUUGUCUAUGCAGAACCUUGUACAGGGAUUGUCCGUUCAAAACCGAGGUAGAAAGACGAUUGAUGAGAUAAUAGCAUAAAAAAUGCAUUGCCCUAAUAAUCUAUAGGAAGAUUUGUUCGGGCCAAAAAUGUAAUACCCAUGUCAACAAUAUGCUGGUGAUUGCGUUCAGCCACCUCAUUCUGUUCGGGCGUAUGAAGAUAGGACAGUCUAUGAAUUAUCCUUGAGUCACCAACACUGACGUGAAAGUGCAAAACUCUCCUCCCCAAUCACUCUGAAAUUGUUUGAUUUUUUCCCAAAUUGAGUCUUGAUUAAUUGUUGAAACUAAACAAAACAAUCCACCGCCUAAGACUUUUGACGAAUAAGAUAAAUCCAAGUAAAGUGAGUGCACAUGUUAAUAAACGAGACAUAAUACCGAUUACGUCCAUAGGCAACUGAUGUAGGUCCCCAUAGUCGAAGACCACCAAAGUAAAAGGAUCAGUAUAUUCAGUAGUAGGGGUUGGAAAAGACAGUUUAUGAGACUUCCCUUUUUGGCAUACAGUAUAAACAUUAUCAAGACAAACUUUAUUGGAAGCAAUAUUACAUUUAUCUAAAACAGAUUUAACAAUAGAAGCAGAGGGAUGACCAAGACACUUGUGCCAUAAAGAAAAAUUAUCACAGCUAGCAGUCUGAGUCUGAAGUCCAAUAUUGGCAAUAAAAGGAGCCACAAUAAACGGAACAGACGCAAUCGACGGAGAAAAAUAUUAGAGCCCAUCACUAAUGUGGCCCCUCAAUAAAAUUUCCUGAGUCUUGAUGCCCUUAACAACACAAUAAGUUAGAUGAAAUUCAAAAAACACGUUAUUGCUAGUGGCAAACUGAUAUACAGACAGUAGAUUCUUCUGUAUAGUCGGUACACAUAAAACAUUAGAUAAGCGAAGUAAUUUAUUCUAUGAAGAAAACACUGAAUUUCCAACAGAUGAGAUCCUGGUGGGAGUCUCGUCACCCAUUAAUAGAGAGGAUGUACCUGAGUAAGGUGUAGAGUCAUUCAACAUAAAGGCAUCACGACAUACAUGGUGUGUAGCCCUUGAUUUUGGAUACCAGGAUGCAGUUCUGAUGAGUAUAGAGAUAUAGAAACCAGUAUCAUCAAGGUUGGACCUAAAUUGAGUGGCGUGAAUAUUAGGAUCAAUAGAAUUAGAUACAUCGGACGCAUGCAAAUCGGGUAGACGAGUGAGCCCAAUGCACGGAUCAGACUCAGUGCAAACAUGAGCCCUCAGUUUGGUCCGCCAAGGAACAGACGGCCCAGACGCAUGAUAAUCACCGUCACCGAAAUGCCCAAUCUCGCGUCCAUGUCCAAGAGAAUUAGAAAACUCUACACAAUUGGAUGUUGGCCCAUUUGGAAAAUUAGUAGCCUGCGGCCCAAGUAAAGUAAACGUGCCCCCAAGUUCCUAGUUUGAGCUAGAUGGCCUGGCACGCACGGGCUGACCAGGAUAAUAGCCAUAGUCAUACGGCCUAGUAGCAGCAGGCCCGAACCCAGCAGCAGCAGCAAAACUGCCAAAUUAUGAGUCCUGCCUAGGCACUAAAGGAGAAGACUCAUGCCUAGGCCCAAAUUGCAACAUUGCCCCAGCGGUAUUAUGCCCAAAUCCAUCAUCAAAGACUGCAAAGGGGUUAGAAACCCUAGUGGACAGCCUAGGCAUGUGAGGUGUAGCACAAAAUUUUUGCCAGAGAAUAAACCAUACGGCACUGUCGUCGAAGGGCCAUCAAACCCACCAGGAGUUUGCGACGGAAACAAAAACCCAGCAGUCGAGACCUGACUCAAACGACUGACCGAGAGUUAAAGCCUGAGCCACCGAUGGUUGUCCAUCAUAAUCGCGAUUAUAAUGAUAACAACAUCACUAGGCUAAAUGCCCAAAUCGGCCGUAAAUAUGACAUUGGAUGCAGGAACGAAAUCCUUUGCCACGACCGCCAGACAGAGGAGGCCACCAUGAACAGAAUCCACCAUCGGUGGUAACGGAACAGACUCCACAAGAUUUGCAUGAAUCAACAGUUCUUGAACUGCACGCAUCUGUCACGUCUCAUAUUCUAAUAACAAGUCAACAAGACGUUGAAAUGGAAGAGUUUCAAACGAGAACGAUGCUAAGGUAAGCACAGCAUCAAACUCCAGAGGUAGACCUGUAAGGACAAUCUUAACCUUUUCUGCCUCUGAGAUCCGAAAGCCAGAAGCCUCGAUCAAGGCACAGGUAUUCUGAAUUUUUGCUACAUAUUUUUUGAUUAAGAGGUUAUCUUUCUUAAGUGAGUAUAGAUCGUGACAAAUGCGAGAUAAUUUUGCACCUGUGACUGCUGCAAAGAGACGAGUGGAAGUAUUCCAAACAUCACACGCCGUUCAAGCAUCUGUAAAUGAGGAUAAUAGUGAAUGAUUAAUAGUGGAGAGUAACCAAGAGGCAAGUAACCUAUAAUGUUGAACGAACGCCGAGGCAUCCGGAUUUGGAACAAGAGAUCCCUCUGGUGACUGUACAAAACGCGGUGGAGCAGGUAACGUGCCCUCCAAAAAACCAGUCAGUUCGUAAACUUCAAUGAUCAGGUGAAUAUGUUGCUGCCAUUGAACGAAAUUUCCAUCAUCCAAUUUAACAGUGUCAUGGCAAGGGAAGGAUUGAACGAUCCGAACACCAGUGGACGCCGAACAGCCAUGCUCGACAGAGGCAGAGUCAGUAGAAGUAGUGGUAGUCAUGGGAGCAAACGAAGAUCAGGUCUCCAGCACCAAGGCGACUGAUACCAUGUUAAUAUCUACAGUAAGCUAAGUAAAAGCUAUAUCGUGUAUUGAAAAAGGUAUUCUGUAUUAUUUAUGUAUUAUCUUCAUUGAAUUGUACAACACUAGUAUUUAUAGAAUAUGUGAGCUAGUUGUUGCUAGUAACUGUUGUUAACAACAUAACAGUUUUGAAUAACAGAUUAACAACUUACAAUAACAGAGUCGUUACCAUUAUACUCUAACAAAGUUGGAGGGGCAAAAAAAUCAUUAUGCCAAUAAGUAUAUUAUUUUUAUACUUCUUGGCCAUAACUUUUCACAAAUAAAUAUAUUAUAACACUUUUAUAACAAUUUUUUUUCAUAAUUUUAGACUUUUUUAGGAUUUAAAUAAUUUUUUUUGUUAUAACUUUAAAAAUACCCAUUAUUUUUAUAAUAUAAGAAAAUUUUGGUAAUAAUCAUCCCAAACUCUCAUACAUGUUCAUGUUUUUAUAACUUGUAUAAAAAUAAUUUUUAAAAAUUAGAUUGUGAUGUGAUUAUUUGCGUAAUUAUUUCCAUUCUCACUCUCUCCUUAAAAAUCAAAAAGUGUAAUCGUGAUGCUUCAAUUACAUCCAAUUUAGUAAAAUUCAUUUUAACUAUUGCUAGUAUUCUUUUUAAAGAAAUAAUGUAAUUUUAAUUGUAUAUAGAAUAUUUACCAUCACAGUUAUAAUUUAUAAUGCAUAUAGAAUAUUUUAUAUUAUGCUCUUAACUUCUCAAAAAAUGUAAUUAAAUAAAUUAAUCUUCCCAUAUAACAAAUUGCUAUUAUCGUUAAUAUACCAAGACAAUUUUUAGAUUAAAAAUGAAUUGGGAAGAAUUAAUGGCAAGUCAAUCUUGGAAUAUCAUUACAAACCAUUUUUUUAUGUAUUUUAUUAUUUUUAAAUAUAAAUAAUAUAUUUAUAAGUUACUUUGUAGUAAGUUGUAAUGGCAAUUUAUAUAUGUUUAAUAUUUACUUUUUAUUUUAAUAUCUAUUAAAAUUAUGAUAAAAAUUUUAAAAAUUGAUUAUUGAGCUAACUUUUUACAAUCAUUUGUACAAAAAUUUAUUUUACAAACGCCGUUGAACUUGUUGAUCUUAAAAACAAAUGACUGAUGAAACUAAAAAGAAUUAUUUGAAAUAGGAUUUGUAUGAUUUAUAUAAUAAAAUAUAAUUAUAUAAUAUCAUUUAUAUAUGAAAUUUGCGUCCUUAUAUUUAGAAAAUAAAUCCUAUAUUUUAUUUCAUAUUUGAGAAUCUAAUUUAAUUUCCCCUCAAUAUUAUUCUUAAAAAUAUUAAAAAUAGAAAUAAUUUAAUAAAUUUUAAUUUAUAUAAUAUUAUAAUCCAAUGUAUCACAUUAAGCAUAGUUUUUUUUAAAUGAAAUAUGUUUAUGUUAUAGUUAAAGAUAUUAUAUUAGGGAGAAUGAUAUUAUUGUUUUAUUAGUUAUAUAUUGAUAAAUUUUUUAAUUUAAAUUGAUAUUAUAUACAAAAAUUUUAUACACAAUGAGCAAUAUGUUCUUUGUUGUGGUGAAUUAUAAUGUUUAAAUUCGUGAUAUAAAUAUCAAUGUAAUAUUUGAGUCUGAUUAAUAUGAUGUUCAUAAAAGAUAUCAUAUUAGUGAAGAUGAAGUGUAAAAUCAAUUGAAAAUCGAAGCUUCGAUUAAAUUGUAUAGAUAUAAAUUUAUUAUAUAUGACAAUCCAAUAAUAUAUUCUGCGAUUCAUAUAAUGUAUGAUGAUAAUGUAUAGAUAAUGAUUGUGGAAGGGUUGAGCUCGACAGCAAUGAAGAAGAAUAUGGAUCCGCGAUAUUCUAAAACCGAAAAAUCUAUAUUGUGAUGCUGUGCAAAAUAAUAGGGGUGAGCAAAAUUCGAUUUGAUUCGAAAAAAAAUCGAAUUUUGAGUUAAUUAAAUCGAGUUAUUCAAAUUAUUCAAGUCAACUCAAAUAAGUAAUUCGAGUUUCGAGUUCGAAUCGAGUCGAAUUUUACAAUUCAAAUAACUCAAAUAAUUCGAAUAACAUAUUGGUAUAAAUACCCUUUUGGUCUUUGUCAAUUUUAAAAUGAGCAAAUUGACCUCUCUCUCAAUAAAAAUUACAAAAUAAUUUUAAAAUUUCAAAAUAUUUAUAAAAAUUCCAAAUUUAUAUUUCUUAAAAAUUAUAAAAAAUUCUAAAAGUUCUAAAAAGUAUAUAAAGAAAGUUAAAAAAAAUUAAAAAUUUUCUAGAAUAAUAAUUUUGGCACAUAAAUAAGUUAAUUAAUGAUUCAAGUUUAUCGCACUAAAGUAAUUUUUUUUAUUUUGCUUUGAAAUUUUUUUCAAAUAUAUAUGGUUUCAAAUUUAUGUGCUAUAAUAUGAAAUUAGUUAUAGUAUAACAAGAUUUUAAUUUAAUAUGUUUAAUUUUUUAAUUUAACUCAAAUAAUUUUAUUCGAAUUGACUCGAAUUUCAUUUUACUCAAUUUAAUUUGAAAAAAUUUAAAUCGAGUUAAAAUGAUAAAAUAAGACUAAUUAACUUAAUUAACUUAAAAAAUUUUCAUUCGAUUCGAUCGAAUACUCACUCUUACAUAAUAAUGUACCAAGAGAGGCCAAAGUGUGGAGGUGCAAUAAUUACACAACUCAACUAUUUUGCAAAACUGUUUUUUAAAACUCUAAUAUAUAGAUGAUAAAAAAAAAAAGCCCUAGCCACUUGACAAUUUUUAACGAAAAGAGAAAAGGUUAGGGUAAGUAUAAUACACGUCACGUUAUUCCAGACAAGUUUUGCUUGCAGACACAGUUUCUUGCCUGUGAGUCGGUGACCCAUCUCAAAAUAUCACCCGUAACAUCUUUACCCAAUCACGCGGCCGCCUCCUAUUGGUUUGUCUCUUUGCGCAGCAAUACCCCACCCUCCCUACGUCCAGCUGUCUCACUACUUCAUAACAAUUGUAUCAUUCAAUUAGUUAUUGUAGGUUUAAUUUUUUCCAACCCCUUUACUCUUUCAGCUUUUAAAUUUUAAUCUAUCACCUUUUAAUUCCCUAUCUCUCCUGCUUGAUUUAAAAAUUAAAAUUUAAUUAAUAACAUUUCCAUUCAAUUUAAAUAUAUUAUUAUUUUUAGAUCAAGUCUUCGAAUAUUAAAAUGAUAUAUAUUCAAAUUUAACCAAGCUUUUGUGAAUUGGACUUUUAACUUUUAAAUAAAAAUGAAGAGAAACUAAAAUUUUAAAAUCAAAAGUAGAAAGCCUAAAUUUCAAAACCCCAACGAUAGAAUUAAACAUUUAUUAUAAUAUUAAUUACUAAGGUACACUAUACCUAAGUCACUAAAUUAUUAGUAAAUUUAUAUUUUGGUCACUUAACUUUAAAAAAUUACAACAUGGUCACUGAACUAUUUGAAAGUAUUUAUUUAAGUCAUUGGGUUAUUAAGUAUUUUUUUUAAAGUUCGGCUAGCGAGCUCCAAGCAAUGAUUCAACGGUUAGUACAAUGGAUUAGUACCUAUCAAAUAGUAGAACAUACCUCAUAUCCAAGUCAAUCUAAUAGUCAAUGUAAGAGAUCGGAGAAGAAAACUGUUUGAAUUUUGAUUCGUAAAUUCAUAACAUUCAAAGUUAUUCUAUGAAAAUAAUUAAAUUGUUGAAGAGAAGGAGAAUAAGAUCUUUUGAUUGGUGUAGACCGUGUGAAUAAAGAAAGCCAUAUAACAGAGAUUUAAUAUCUCAAUGAAUUAAAUAAAAACUUCCGAAUGAUUUAGUGACUAUUUUGUAACUUUUUAAAGUUAAAUGACUGAAAUGUAAAUUUAUUAAUAGUUCAGUGACCUUGGCUGUAGUUUACCCUAAUCAGGUAAUGUAACAGCAAAUUACAUGGUCAUGAAUGUGGGCCCCAAUCCAGACUGUCGAGUCUUGAUCGCCACAUUACAAUGUGUCUUUGUUUGAUAGUUUGAUGACGGUGGGCCCCGAAAUAGCUUCUCAUCCAACGGCUAUUUCUGAUCCAAACACGUUCCUAACUUUUUCUUCUUUUCUUUUUAUAAUCAUCAUUUUUUCUGAUUUUCUCUCCCUCAUUUAUUUAUAUAUUUAUUGAGAGUCUGUCAUCCCGUUGUCAUUAGUUUCUGUUACUACUUCACUCUCCCUCUGUCUUCAAGAAAUGGAUCGUAGAAGUGCAUUUGCCGUUGCUUUGAUUUGCUUUGUGGUGACCGCUGUCGGUGGUCAAUCUCCGGCAGCCUCACCUACUAAAGCUCCGCCGGCAGCGACUACUCCUGCCACUGCUCCCGCUACUGCCCCUGUUAGCAAACCUAAAUCACCGGCUCCAACUGCUGCCCCUACCACUUCCCCACCAACUUCUUCACCACCGGCUGCGGCUCCGGAGAAGUCUGCGGCGGUUCCAGCCCCAUCUAAAUCUGCUCCGGCUUCUUCUCCUCCGGCUGCUGCUCCGGUGAGUUCUCCACCGGCUCCAGUACCUGUGAGCUCUCCUCCAGCCAAAUCGCCUCCCGUUGCUGCACCGACGACUCCACCAGAGAGCUCGGCCUCUCCUCCGGCUCUUGUUGCGGCACCAACUACUGCUGAGGUUCCGGCCCCAGCUCCAAGCAAGAGCAAGAGCAAAAGCAAGAAAUCCAAGAAACACCAUGCUCCGGCUCCUUCACCUGAUAUGCUUGGACCUCCCGCUCCACCAACUGGAGCUCCUGGACCUAGCCUCGAUGCUUCCUCUCCCGGUCCAUCUGUCGCUGCCGAUGAGGUACAUUCUCUUCUCUUUACUAACGCUUCAGUAGCUUACAUCAUAUAACAAUGCGCUUUCAGAUCUGAACUUUUACACUGCAUAAAUGUAGAGAGAUCUUGUUUUUCUUUUAAUCGCGUCUAAAGGAUGCACCGUUGAGCUAGUUCAUUUACUUUUCUGAAAAAGGACCGACCAAUGGAUCUUUUUUUCAUCUUAAAACUAUAUUUAUUUGUAACAUUUAAAGAGUUAUUAUUAACAAAUGCAGAGUGGAGCAGCGGCAAUGAAGAACAUGAAGAAGAUAAUUGGAGGGUUGGCGUUGGGAUGGGCAGCCAUUGCUUUGAGCUUCUAGAUUGGUUUUGAUCACAUUCCACAUUCUGCGUUCUAAUUCUUUGGUUGGUGUACUGAGAGGCGGAAACUCUAGUUUUUUUUUCCUAUGUAAUUUCCACCAUUCUUUUUUUUUCCCCUUCAUUUACCCAUUUUCUGUCUUUUAUUUCUCUAUUAUAUUUUAAUAAAAUCACAAUUUAUUUUACUAAUACCAAUGCUAAUGAAUCUCAAGAUCAUUUGUGCAGGUUAAACAUUGUAAAAGUAACAAAACUGAAACGAUCAUAUAGCUCAUGAACCAUUACAGGGAAAUUGGUUAGACAAUGUUCCAAUGAAAGUACAGGAAAGCUUAAAAUGGCAGCAAAUGCAUAUCUUACAAAUCAAUCUGAAUAUUUAGUUUAAUCUGAAAGAACAGUUUUGAGUAAAAAGUAAUUAGGCAUGGGGGCAUAAACCAGGAGAGACGUUAUUCAUUGGUUCCUAUCGUCUUCUCCCCCGGCUGCAAACACCAGACAGACUUACAUGUAUGAAACUUCUUACAUUCACAAUUGCCACGUAUCAGAAGAAGCACUUCACAAGAGGACUCUACAAAUUAAAAAUUCUCUUUUUCUCUACAACAAAACCCUGUAAAAUGUAAGCCCAAGCAGCAAACCUUCAAAAUGCAUUAUUUGAAGCAUCAAAUGUAUACAAACUGUAUUAGACCCAAUGCCUACUUUCAAGCGUGAUUCGUCCUUAAUUCUAAAGCUUUUAAUUUUAUUGGUUAAUAUUGGUGUUUUUGUCGUUUUCCCAUCAACCCAAAGCCAAAAGCAUGCAAAUUCCCUUCACUUGGAAUAUGGAGAUGGUAAAGUAGAAAAGUAUUCAUAAUACGCUAUGAUAUAUAUAUGCGUGUGUGCGUGUAAAUGGCCACUAUGAAGCGUGUGUGCGUGUAAAUGGCCACUAUGAAGCUUUCUUAUUUGCUCGAAAAAGAAGGCAAAUAUUAAUUAAUAAUAUAUAAUAUUUGGCAUUCAUUAAUAAGACUCAGUGAAAUAAAUAAUUAAGAUAAUAUAAUUAAUUUAAUAUAUACCAGGUUGAUUUAUCCAUUUAUGCUGAAAAAAAAAUCUACAUUUAAUUAUCUAUGUUUUUUUUUUAAUUUAUCAAUGUUGUUUUGAAGAGAGAAAGGAAAGCACGUCUUACAUGGUGCAUUUUCACUGUCUAUGUCAUUGAAAAUGCGUCUUAUAGGGCGUAUUUUUAGCUACGUCAGCUGAACAUGUGUCAUGUUUUCACAAAUUGACAAUUUAGCUCUUUUGAUCAGAUGGUUAAGCGUUAGUGUUUUUAGUCUUUAAGUCUUAGGUUCAAUUCCUCUCCUAUUCAUUUUUAUAAUUUUUAUUUCAUGUUAUUUUAAGUUUUUUUUAAUUAAUAUUUUUGACACAUUAGCUCUUUUGGUUAGAUGAUUAGAUAAUUGUGAUUUCUUCUUUCAGUCCUAAGUUUGAUUCCUUUUAUAAGAAUUUUAAUAUGUAUUUUUUAUUUCAAUUUUUUUAUUAUUUUUAAUUAAUAUUUUUAAUUAAUAAAUAUAUUGUUUUCAAGUUUUUUUAUUUUUUAUUUAUCUUUUUAAUUAAUAACUCUUUUAUUUAUAAAAUCAAAUAAUUAUUGAAAAUAUCAUUAUUUUUAGUAAAUAUAAUUUUUAUUUGUGUAAUUUUUAUCUUUCAAUCCAUAUCAUGAAUGUAGUAAAUUGACAUAUUAUAUAUUUUUGUAUAAUGUAUGAUGAUGAUGAAUAGAUAUAAAUUUAUUAUAUAUGACAAUCCAAUAAUAUAUUCUACGAUUCAUACAAUAUAUGAUGAUGAUGUAUAGAUAAUGAUUGUGGAAGGGUCGAGCUUUAUAGCAUUGAAGAAGAAUAUAGAUCGGCGAUAUUUUAAAACCGAAAAAUCUAUAUUGUGAUGCUGUGCAAAAUAAUAGGAGUGAGCAAAAUUCAUUUGAUCCAAAAAAAUUAAAUUUUGAGUUAAUUGAAUCGAGUUAUUUGAAUUAUUCAAGUCAACUCGAGUAAGUAAUUCGAGUUUCGAGUUCGAAUCGAGUUGAAUUUUACAAUUAAAAUAACUCGAAUAAUUCGAAUAACAUAUUGGUAUAAAUACCUUUUUGGUCUCUGCCAAGUUUGAAAAUGAACAAAUUGACCUCUCUCUCAAUAAAAAUUACAAAAUAAUUUUAAAAUUUCAAAAUAUUUAUAAAAAUUCCAAAUUUAUACUUUUUAAAAAUUAUAAAAAUUUCAAAAAAAAAUCUGAAAAAAUAUAAAGAAAGUUAAAAUAUUAAAAUUUUUCUAGAAUAAUAAUUUUGGGACCUAAAUAAGUUAAUUAAUGAUUCAAGUUUAUCAUACUAAAGUAAUUUUUUUAUUCUGCUUUGAAAAAGUUUUCAAAUAUAUAUGGUUUCAAAUGUAAGUGUUAUAACAUGGAAUUAGUUAUAGUAUAACAAGAUUUUAAUUUAACAUGUUUAAUUUUUUAAUUUAACUCGAACAAUUUCAUUCGAAUUGACUCGAAUUUUAUUUUACUCAAUUCAAUUUGAAAAAAAUUUAAAUCGAGUUAGAAUGAUAAAAUAAAACUCGUUAACUCAAUUAACUCAAAAAUUUUUAAUAGAGACAGUGGAAUACUCACUUUUACAUAAUAAUGUACCGAGAGAGGCCAAAGGGUGGAGGUGAAAUAAUUACACAACUCAACUAUUUUGCAAAACUUUUUUUAAAACUCUAAUAUAUAGAUGAUAAAAAAAAGCCUUAGCCACUUGACAAUUUUUAACGAAAAGAGAGAAGGUUAGGGUGUUUAAGUAUAAUACACGUCACGUUACUCCAGACAAGUUUUGCUUGCAGAGACACAGUUUCUUGCCGGUGAGUCGGUGACCCAUCUCAAAAUAUCACCCGUAACUGCUUUACCCGGUCACGCGGCCGCCUCCUAUUGGUUUGUCUCUUUGCGCAGCCAUAGCCCACUCUCCCUACGUCCAGCUGUCUCACUACUUCAUAACAAUUGUAUCAUUCAAUUAGUUAUUGUAGGUUUAAUUUUUUCCAACCCCUUUACUCUUUCAGCUUUUAAAUUUUAAUCUAUCACCUUUUAAUUCCCUAUCUCUCCUGCUUGAUUUAAAAAUUAAAAUUUAAUUAAUAACAUUUCCAUUCAAUUUAAAUAUAUAUUAUUAUUAUUUUUAGAUCAAAGCUUCGAAUAUUAAAAUUUAACCAAGUUUUCAUGAAUUGGACUUUUAAAUAAAAAUGAAGAGAAACUAAAUUUUUAAAAUCAAAAGUAGGAAGGCUAAAUUUUAAAACCCCAAAGAGUAUAGGGGUUGGGGAUAGAAUUAAACAUUUAUUAUAAUAUUAAUUAGUAGGGUAAACUACACCUAAGGUCACUAAAUUAUUAGUAAAUUCAUAUUUUGGUCACUUAACUUUAAAAAAUUACAACAUGGUCACUGAAUUAUUCAAAAGUAUUUAUUUAAGUCAUUGAGUUGUUAAGUAUUUUUUUAUGACGAUUGAUACAAUGGAUUAGUACCUAUGAAGAGUAGAACAUACCUUGUAAGAGAUCGAAAAAGAAAACUGUUUGAAUUUUGAUUCGUAAAUUCAUAACAUUUAAAGUUGCUCCACGAAAAUAAUUAAAUUGUUGAAGAGAAGAAGAAUGAGAUUUUAUGAUUGGUGCAGACCGUGUGUAUAAAGAAAGUUAUCCAACAGCGAUUUAAUAGCCCAAUGAAUUAAAUAAAAUCCUUCGAAUGAUUUAGUGACUAUUUUCUAACUUUUUGAAGUUGAACGACUUAAAUGUAAAUUUAUUAAUACUUCAGUGACCUUGGGUGUAGUUUACCCUACUCAGGUAAUGUAACAACAAAUUACAUGGUUCAUGUAUGUGGGCCCCCAAUCCAGACUGUCGAGUCUUGAUCGCCACAUUACAAUUUGAUGACGGUGGGCCCCGAAAUAGCUUCUCAUCCAACGGCUAUUUCUGAUCCAAACACGUUCCUAACUUUUUCUUCUUUUCUUUUUAUAAUCAUCAUUUUUUCUGAUUCUCUCCCUCAUUUAUUUAUAUAUUUAUUGAGAGUCUGUCGUCUCGUUGUCAUUAGUUUCUGUUACUACUUCACUCUCCCUCUGUCUUCAAGAAAUGGAUCGUAGAAGUGCAUUUGCAGUUGCUUUGAUUUGCUUUGUGGUAACCGCUGUCGGUGGUCAAUCUCCGGCAGCCUCACCUACUAAAGCUCCGCCGGCCGCGGCUACUCCUGCUACUGCUCCCGCUACUGCCCCUGUUAGCAAAUCUAAAUCACCGGCUCCAACUGCUGCCCCUACCACUUCCCCACCAACUUCUUCACCACCGGCUGCGGCUCCGGAGAAGUCUGCGGCGGUUCCAGCCCCAUCUAAAUCUGCUCCGGCUUCUUCUCCUCCGGCUGCUGCUCCGGUGAGUUCUCCACCUGCUCCAGUACCUGUGAGCUCUCCUCCAGCCAAAUCGCCUCCCGUUGCUGCACCGACGACUCCACCAGAGAGCUCGGCCUCUCCUCCGGCUCCUGUUGCUGCACCAACUACUGCUGAGGUUCCGGCCCCAGCUCCAAGCAAGAGCAAGAGCAAAAGCAAGAAAUCCAAGAAACACCAUGCUCCGACUCCUUCACCUGAUAUGCUUGGACCUCCCGCUCCACCAACUGGAGCUCCUGGACCUAGCCUCGAUGCUUCCUCUCCCGGUCCAUCUGUCGCUGCCGAUGAGGUACAUUCUUUUUCUUUACUAACGCUUCAGUAGCUUACAUCAUAUAACAAUGCGCUUUCAG
RNAcentral lists this long non-coding RNA (55900 nucleotides) under Gossypium barbadense (sea-island cotton). RNAcentral's name for it is "long non-coding RNA (GBAR_LNC021690)". Lineage: Eukaryota; Viridiplantae; Streptophyta; Magnoliopsida; Malvales; Malvaceae. The record is from RNAcentral.